AAAAAAGAAAAAGUACGUUUUNNNNNNNNNNNNNNNNNNNNNNNNNNNNNNNNNNNNNNNNNNNNNNNNNNNNNNNNNNNNNNNNNNNNNNNNNNNNNNNNNNNNNNNNNNNNNNNNNNNNNNNNNNNNNNNNNNNNNNNNNNNNNNNNNNNNNNNNNNNNNNNNNNNNNNNNNNNNNNNNNNNNNNNNNNNNNNNNNNNNNNNNNNNNNNNNNNNNNNNNNNNNNNNNNNNNNNNNNNNNNNNNNNNNNNNNNNNNNNNNNNNNNNNNNNNNNNNNNNNNNNNNNNNNNNNNNNNNNNNNNNNNNNNNNNNNNNNNNNNNNNNNNNNNNNNNNNNNNUCGUCUUAUGUCUUUGUUUUUUUUGGUCUUACCAAUAUUUAUCUUUAGUUCUGUUGCGAAAUUAAAAAUUGAUAUUUAUAUGCAGUUGCAUUUGUGGUGCAAAUUAUGUAAAAAAUGGAAUUGCGUUACUGUAAUACACACAACUUGGUUUGAGGUUAGGGAAGAGAUUGAUAACUUAUGUAGGGGGGUGAGUUAAGUCACACUUUUUAUCUUUUUGUUUUUAUCAUUUUGUGGGAACUCUUUUAAAUCAUUGUAUAUUAAAUGGGGUGAAAGUUAGGUGUUGGUGUACGGAUACCAUUUUCCCCAUUUUUAAAUAGCCUCUAGUGUGGAAUAGAUUUGGCAGACUCAACCAGUUUUUACAAUAACACUGUAAAAGAACCCAGGUGCAGUGAUAUGACUUGUGAGCUACAUUUCUUACAAUGCGAAGCACAUUCUGAGUAAUUGCAUGCAACUAUAAUCUUAUGUAUAUACUGUUUAGAACAAGAAAUGGUGUAUGUACAUCCUAACAUGUUUAAACUACCAGUCAUUAACCAUGACACGAUCUUGUGUAUCUAGAUUGUUGGUUUGUACGUCUUGCAACUUUUAUAGGUAACAUGAGAGAGGAAAAUGAUCACUAGGUUUCUAGUAAACGUUACAAAAAACAUUUUGUCCCAUCUUUUAAAUAGAAAUAUUUCUACGAUAUAGACCUGAUGUCAGAUCUAACCUCUUUUUAAGUAAUAUAUGUACUCUGUGUGGAGCUGCUGAAGAGACAAUGUUCAUGGAAGGGAUAGCAAGGCCAGUGAUAAGAUUCACAGACAUACAGAGUAUUCAAGAAUUGUAAGAAAGGUGGCCCAAGGUAGCAACAACAAGAUGGAACGUGCCAUUGUGGAAACUAACGCCUUGUGCAAUAAUAUGGGUAGUAUGGAAGAAGGGGAAUGGCCCAUUCUUCACAGAGAAGACUACCACAGUGGAGAAAGUAUGCUUAAUAGUGAAAGUAGUCAUUUGACAAAGGGCACUGGGGGAAAAUAGAAAGGAAGGAACGUAGAUUUCAUGAAUUAGUUCAACCAACUGUUUGGCAGUUACUACUGUGGCUGUGUGGGUCAAAUUCUGGUUGAAAACUGUUGUAAAUUUUGAUAGUUGAUGUCGUGGCUAUUGUAAGAGCCGUGUUCUCAAGGAGCAAUCACUUGAGUUUUGUUUGUAUAAUGUGAUGUAAUUCAACACCAAUCAAUAAAAUUGCCACUCAAAAAGAAAGGAAAAAUCUAACCUCUUUUAUCUUUUUAUGGUUGCUAACAUUGUUAUAAAAUGAAGUCUGGUAUUUGACUUUACCAGCUUUAAUGUUGUCUAAUGGCGAAAAAGUGGGAGCAUCAUGAGAGUUCAUAUUCAUGGGAGGUCGAUACUCGAUACUAUUUGCUGAACACAUAGUAGCUGUUUGCACAUAAGUUGUUAGUGUUUGCAAUGCCCUGGGUCUUCUUUCAAUAUAUGAUGUCAUUUGGAUUUUCUGUUGACCAUGUUUGUGGGUGUUUGCAUUGAUGUCAACUCUUCCUCUUUUCUUCAGCUUGCAGUUUGAAGGGCUGUGGGAGUCGAUGAGUGGAGAUAAAUGAGGCUGCCUGUGCUCGUGUAUAUUUGCCCUUUUGUCCUAAAAGGAAACCAGACUUCAAAUAGAUUUGGGAAUUCCAUAGUUCUAGCUUCUGAUGUAGAAGUAGAAUUUUAUUGUACUUUUUAUUUUUAUGUUGAAAUGAUGAAAUCUUUGUUCGACAUUUCUAUUUCUUUAAAAAGACACCAGUGAUGUUUGUAGGAUUAUGUCAUGAAGAUGAUAAGGAACAUGUUUAGGAUUUUGUAGAAAAUACUUUUAAUAUGAGGUGUAUCAGAAUUAGGAUUUUGUAGAAAAUACUUUUAAUAUGAGGUUUUUCAGAAUUAGAAUUUUGAUCCUUGUGUAUCGUUUGCAUCCCUUCAUCUCUUUUAUCAUGUAGGAUGCAAUUCUUGGAGGAAUAUGUGGGUACUUUUAAUUCUGGAGUUGCAGUACAUGAAUGGUAUGAGCUGGAAUGUCAUUCUAUCAUUUGUUUGAUGUGUAAAUUUUUUAUCAGCUUGGGAUUAGUUAGACUCGGACAUAACCAAUGCUAUCAUCCAUUUGUUUUUUCCUGAAAUAUGUUUUGCGGUUAAGAGCUUUAACUAACCGUAUUGGUUAAACAGACUUCUUCAUAGCUCUAUUCUCUGUUUCAAUCUGCAUUCGAAAUGCUAUUCUUGUCCUAAAUCAUAUACUUUAUAAGAGUUGUCAAUCAAUACAAUCCUUGAGACCUUCAACCGAGCUGUAAGGGUGAAAUAGCGGAAGUGGAUACCAAGUAGCUAGUCAGAAGGUGCAGAUCAAGGUGCACAACUUCCUCGGUUGUCAUCCAUGACAAUGGCCAAAUUGAAAGAUUGUAUGGUCUGGCACUUGUUUGCAAAUUUUUUGUUCAAAUUGAAGAUGGGAGUUAUUUCUGCUUUUAGGUCAAAACAAGGUCUCAUGGGACAGUUGGUUAGUAACUAUUAUGUGACUUUGUUAUAGUAAUAAUCACAAAUAAAUGAUGUUCUAAUCGCUACAAUUAUUGCUAAUAUCCACUGUUUUGAUGUUUAACUGAUCACUUUGCUUGAAAGAUGCCAUUCAGCAAAGCAAAUAAAACUACUAGACCCCAGCUUUACUCAGUUGUGGAACAGAGCAAUGUUCAAUCAUAGUACACUAGUCAUCACAAAAAGGAUUUGAAAACCUCAAACAAGUUGUGGAUGUAGGUGGCUUGUUAGUAUGAAGAAAGUGUGUUGUGUUCGUAAUAAUUGGGUGAUUUAGUAUUUGAGUACAAUAAAAUGCGAGGAGGAAUGAGGAUUUUGAAUGUUUUACUGUAUUAGAGGUGAAAAAUAUGUACGUACCUUACCUAUGAUAAAAAACAGACAGAGUUCUGACUUUCAGUUCGAAAUAACUUCAAGACUUGUGUAUGUCAUGCAUUAAAUGCACCAUCAACAGUAUGGACAGCGGUUUGAUCUAAAUAUGUAGUUGCACUAGUUGUCAUGAACAGAUUUGAUAAUUAAACGGCCUAAUGCAGAAUUAUUAGAUCAAGAAUGGUCGAUUUGUAAUGAACAGCGCUGUAAUAGUAAAUGAUUGAUAUCGAUUGGUACCUUGAAACUUCACACUAUAUUAGUGCUAUACUGCUAUGUCCUAAUCACUGAAAGCUCAAUGUAUAUCAAAACUACUAAACAACAAAACAUUACGUCUAUUGCUACGCAAAUUGAUCGAAGAAUGUACAUUACUGCUUACUUCUUUGAGGCUUCCAACUAAUCCCUAUUUUUGUGGUUCAAAUAUAACCACAUAGAAAGAUCAGUAUGUCCAUACCCAAAUGCGCAGUGUAAUGCUCAAUCAUCGAUAUUACUAAAGCACUUGAUGGAAAUCUGCUAUUAUAUGAACUUUGAAGAACUAUCAACAAUGUGAGACAAGACUAGUUGACUAUUGUUUACAUGCCGGACUUAAUUACAGACUGAUUACAGUACAUUAGUAGAACAUGUUCUUUAUAAGACAUCCUCGACUCAGUUCAACAAAUCAAAAAAUCCGCAAUUUUUUAUCUAGUAUGACAUGGAAAAAUUGGAAGGGUAGCCCUCCAGGGUAGACAACAUGAUCAAUAUCUUAACCUCAUUUCUUAUAAAACUCGAUUACCCACGACAUAUUACAAAUGCAAACCACCUUCUUCAUACAAACAAACCCAGCUUCCUUUGCCAGAUUAUGAAAUUCUUCUUCUGUCCGCUCUUUCCCCCCGGGAUUUGUUGACAUCAUUAUAAGAUCUGAUUGGCAGAAGACUUUGGCAGCAGUAUUAGUCUCGGGCGCAACGGGUAGAAUUGCUUCCACGAUGAUCACUUUCCCAUCAUCCGGUAGUGCUUUGUAGCAGUUCUUUAGUAUAUUUACGCAAUUUUCGUCACUCCAAUCAUGCAGUAUCCACUACAAAAUGCAAAGAUGGACUUAUUUCAAAUGUUUUGGACAACUGAUCAAAUUGCACCAAUAUACACCUAACUUACCUUCAUGAACAUGGUUUCCCCUUUGGGAACACUGUCAAACAUAUUUCCUCCAAUGUGUACUACACCUGCAACAAAUUAAUCUAUCUGAUCAGAUUCCGUAUUAAUUGAAAUAAGAAACCAACCAGUAACUAGGAUGGCACAUUAUAAAACAUAUAAACCAUAAUUUAAAGGAAUUAUCAUACCAGGGUAAGUUUGUGCUUGUUCAAUCACAUGCGGCAGAUCAAAAUUAAUACCGUGAAUUGCAGUAUAUUUUGAAGUGAUUAAGCUAAUUGUCGUUCCAACUCCACCACCCACAUCAACUACCUCUUUGAGAUCCUCAAACCCUUCGUAUGUUUCUAGCAUCUUUUUAACGAAAAUUGUUGAGUAGUUGAACAUUCCUCGGUUGAAUAACUGAUCGAAUCUAGCAUCCGUUUUACCAUACUCAAACGCAUGCAUCCCAUGAGCUUUGUUGAAUGCAAUUCCCCCUUCAAGGAUUGCAUCUUUCAAGUAGCACCUGGAGGUACAUUAAACACGAAGACAUUAAUACUAUAUAUCAAUUUGCAAUAAGAAAAGGUGUUAAGAACACCGACAAAUAUGGUGCAAAAUAGUUUGCUCACCGGCUUUCCAUUAGAACCUUGUCCUGGCUGAAAAGCAGCAAUGGACACAUUGAAACUCCAUCUUCAUUCUGAACAAAAUAUUUGCAAACAGGUGCCAAACCAUACAAUCUUUCAGUGUGACCGUCCUUAUCGGUGGCAAGGGAGGAAGUGAGUAUAGAGUAGCUAGUAAGAAGACGCAGGAUUCGAUCCAGCAUAUUGUGGGCAUUAGGAUUUUUAGUAACAGGUAAAUGAGAUGCAAUUUCUUUUGGUGACAGUUGUGCAUUAGGACCUGCUUUACCUAUAAUCUCAAACAACUCAAGCUCGACUGCUACUUGCAUGGCGACUGGUAAAACUGAAGCACUUGAUAAUUGCAUCGCAUACAGAAAUUCUUCGUCUUCGUUGGAAGUUUUGCAUUGGUUGUCUAUGGAACCCAUCCUAAAGUAUGGAGGAAGCAGAUCGAAAUCAGAUUGCUUUGGUUUAUAUAACUGCUUUCAAGGAUGAUACUUGCGUAACUUCAAUAACACGAAGUGGUUCAUCACGGAUCAUCACAUUCAUAAUGAGGUAAUUAAGUUUUGGUCCAUUUUUAGAUCGAACAACAUCAUUAGCUCCUCUAUAUGAAUAUGCAAUAUCUUAUAUCUCACAAAAUUAAAAAAAAAGUCAUUAACAAAGUAGAGUGAUAGUAAUUAAAGAUUGGUUGAAUGCAGUAGAUAUGAUUAAUUACUAGCAAAUCAAGAUUGGCUAUUCACAUUGGUUAUGCAUGCAUGCAUGUUUGAAGUGAAUGGAGAGCCGAACUUAAAGCCACAAACAACAUACUCAAACCACAUAAAAUGGUUUGUCUAAUUCAACGUGAUGACCAAGGUCCAUUUGAUAUGUGGCCGAGUUUGAUUACAAGUUAGACUUAAUUUCUUUUGAUUUAUGUUUGUGGCUGAGUGUUUGACUAUGUCAUAAAUUUAACAAAGACACCAACUCAAAGUCUCAAACUACUGAUCUUAAAUUUCAUUGUUUUUUUUUUUUUUUUUUUUUUAUUAUUAUUAUUGGCAAGUGAGGUUGAGGGGACCACUACCUUUUUUAAAUUAGGUGUGAAAACUUAUAUCAACAAUCUGCUGUUGACGUGUUUCGAACCAACGAUCUCUCCACUUUGUGAGAAUGUGCUUCCAGUGAGCCACAGGCUCAUUCGCGGAAGUAAACUUUUUUAUUUACGAGUUAUGACCAAUUGGUUCGGUGCUAUUGGGUUUAGAAUGUGGACCAAUAAAACACUGCCACGUGGUUAUAGGUGUUGUCAACCUGUUGGACCAGGCCCAAACUUAAACCCUGUGCGUUAGAAAUUUGGUCGUUGAUAUUGGAAAUUGGAAUCAUGUGAGAAAUCGAAAAACUUAGUUCAUAUCGAAGAUGAACUAAUUAAGAUGCCAUAUACAGUAGAAACUCUUUAAAUUAAUACUCGGUAAAUUGAUAAUCUCCUUUAAAUAAUAUAAUUCUCCGGUCCCGACUUGGGGCUUCUUUGCUAAAUUAAUAAUUUAAACAAAAUAAUAAGAUAAUAAAUGUUAAAUAUUUCUAUGUAAUAUUCUUUAAGACCCAAAUGUUUCAUAAAUUAAUAAUAGCUUAGAUAAAUAUAAAAAAUUGAUUACAUCUUAGGUUUUCUUGAAAUAUAAAAACAUAAUGAAUAUAAGAUUGUGUUAAGUUAAUCAGUGUGUACAAUAUUUGAUUCGAUACGUUGCACUAUACGCACCUAGAUUCAAUAAGUUGAAUUAACUAAUGACUCUAGUAUUCAUUGAAAAAUUCAAUGAAGUGUUGGAUUUUUGAAUUUUGAAUUGGUCAAUAACUUUGAUCAAUAAUCUUAAUCUUUACUAGACCUUGAUAACUGAACAUGUAGUAGAAAAUAAUUUUUUACUAAAAAAAUCAAAAAAAUUAAAAUUUUGCUAUAAAUUAAUAUUAUUAAUUUAUCGAUAAAUUUAUCUCUCUCUAAGUUAAUAGAAUUAAGGUGGUCUGAAGGCUAUUAAUUUAUAAAGGUUUAACUGUAUAUGUCAAUUGCUUACUACACUAUUGACUAUUCCAUCUCAGCAGAUCAGAUUUCUUUAUUAUAAUUAUAAUGAUGAGAAUUGCAAAAAGGCAGCGCUUGAUUCAGAGUAAUCAUCAUGAGCUUCCUGAAGAAAUCAUAUGAGAUAUCUUGUCCAGACUACCUGUCCAAAGUCUCUCUCAAUGCAGGUUUGUUUCUAAAGAUUGGUAUAAUUUUAUUAAGGAUCCUGAUUUUAUUAAAUUACAUCAUUCUAGAAUUAACAAACAUGCUUCACUCUCUUCAGAUUGUCUCUUUUUUGCACUUUGCCAUCAUACCAAUAUCGUUUUUGAAAAUGAGAACAGUUUUUCAAUUUGGUAAAAAAUAACCAAAAUACGAGUAUCCAUAUUCCUUUUUUCUCCUUCAUUUAAGGCUCUUUAUGUUGGGAAAUUUUGACUUAACCCCCCCUAUUAUGACCACGUUUUAAAUAAACCCCCCCAUUUGUCCAAAUUUGGACUUUGCCCCCCCUCCGUCUGCUUCCGUCCCAAUUAAUGUUAAAAUUCAAAUUUUCUUCCCAAAAUACCCCUGUAUGCUUCUUCCUAAAAUUUUGUUACGGGUUUAUAGAAAACCCUCUCUGAUUGUGAUAAUCUUUGAGAUGACCCCCCACUUUACAGAACAAAAAAAAAUGUUUUAAAUUAAAAAUAAAAAAAUUAAUGAAGAAGAUAAAGUCUUAAACAAUUGAUUCACUCUUAAAAAUUUCAACUUGAGGGAAAAAUGUGUACAAAUUAAACUAUAUCUUAACCUUGCUUUGAGAUCCAUACUCCAUUUUACUAGUUUUUAGAUCUAGGGUUUUAAUUUCAAACUCAAAUUGGUUAAGAAACAACAAAGAAAGAAAGAAGAAGAAUGAGUAAUGAUGGGUUCAAGGAAGAAGAAGGAACAACGGUGGAGGGGAGUCCAUUUUACUAGUUUAGAUUUAGAGUUUUAGUGUCAAAAACUCAAAUGGGUUAAUAAGCAACAAAAGGAAGAGAAAAAAAGAAUAAUGGUGGGUUUAAGGUAUAGAAAAAAAAAAAAAAAAAAAAAGAGGAAGAAGAAAGAAUUAUUGGGGGGUUAAGUCUAAAAAAGUAAGGAGGGGUAUUUUGGAAAGAAAAAUUAAAGUUAGACGUUAAAUAAGACGGAAGCAGAUAUAGGGGGGUAAAAUCCAAGUUUGGACAAAUAGGGGAGUUUAUUUAAAACGUGACCAUAAUAAGGGGGUUAAGUCAAAAUUUCCCCUUUAUGUUCACUUAAACUUGCCACAACAAUCUUCACAAACUUUUAAAAUUGUUGGUUCUUCUAAUGGCCUUAUGUGUCUAUGUUUAUUACUUCAAUUAAAUGAUUUUUAUAUCUGUAAUCCUGUUACAAGAGAGAUACUGCAGCUCCCUAGAGCACCUGGUCUUGGACCAUAUUCUGAAAAGUACAACCUUGAGUAUUUGUUUCCUAUUUCAUCUGGAUUUGGUUUUCAUACAACAACUAAUACUUACAAGGUUGUGUUGGAAAUGUUUUCAAGUGGUCAAAACAUUUGUAUAUCAAUGAGAAAUUUAAGUCCCAAGUUAACCACUGGCCAUGGCUAAUUGUGUUAUAGUAGAUGAAUGGGUAUGUAUUCACAUACAUUGUAUUUGGCCCAACCCAUCCCAAUAGGUGUGUCUUUCCCCAAUAGACACAUACUUUGUAGACACUCAUUCCCAAUGGGUGUGUCUGUCCCUGUGUACAUUGUAUUGGGUCAGGUGUUUAUUCAAAUAUAAAUUGAAUAGACAUGUGCCUUUUCAAAAAAAGUGUCUUCCUACUAUAUAAGUGUAUCUUGUGUUUGUCUUCAAAUCACUUUUAAAAUCAAAUUGUUUUUCCAUCUUCUAGUGUUUGUGUUUUGCCAUGAGAGAGUAUAACAGAGAAUUGGUUCGCCGUCUUCUAUGCGUUUGAAGUGUUGUUACGCUAAGAAGGAUAGAUCGUUGUAUCCUGGGAGACAAUCCGCCAUUGAUAAACCGUUCGACACAUGUACGGGGCGAAUAGUGUCUUAAAGAAAGAGAUUUUUAUCUCGACUCGAUCUAAAUCUUGUCCCUUCAUCCAUUUAUUCUGGUUUGCAUCAUCUAUUACAUUUUAUUUAUUUUAGAACAGUAAUAUAUCGAUGUAUAUUUCCCUAAAAUCUUAAGACAUUAUCUGUUUGUGGUUUAUACUGUUCUAAUGCUUUUGUGGUGCAGCAUAUUGGUUUUCGAUUAAAUUCGAAAAUUUUGAAUUUUUUUCCCGCAUGGUACUCUCUGUAAGAGAAUAUGGAUUUUUUUUUUUGUAAGCAUUGCAGUACAUGAGCAUGAAUGCAUGACAAUGUUUAUAUAUUGCUUUUGUCGAAUUGUGAUGUUACUAUUGUUAUUUUACUCAAGUCAUGUGAGAAUUGAUAUAUGUUUUGGUUGUUGAUAUCAAUAAAUUAAUCUUAACUAUAGGCUUGUAUAUACAUAAGCAUUAGUCAUCUUGUAUAACCUUUAGUUUUUUGUGACUUUGGUUAUAAAUUGAUGAUGUUCAGACCUUGGUUUUUCUAAACGAGGUCUGUAAAGUUGAAACCCGUCCAAACAAGGUAACUGGUCGGCUGUAUCUAUUGGGCUUAACUUUUUAGGUCUGUGGUUGAGAUGAGGGAGUGAAGAGACACCUCUUUUUUUUUUUGCAAAAGCAAGCUGGGGUUAAUAAAGAAUAUAUUUACAUCCUAGGAUACAAAAUACCUUCUGCAUCCUGAGACACAAAUGUCAUCAACAGUGUUUGGGGGAAUUUCUCAUGUAAUUCUUAGGCGGGUUAGCCUUCGGGCCUGGUUCGAGAUUAGGAGGCCCAUGCUCUUAUGAUGAUGAUAUGUGGUUAGGUGUUCUCCCAUGAUGAUGAUGUGGCUAGGUGUUCUUCAGCGAAAGCAAGUCCCUGAGUAGCAGAAUUGCUCGAGUUGCAAGGUGGCGGUGUGGACACUUAGGUAGUAGCAUCAGUAGCCUUCGGGCCUUGUCUUUGUAAGCCCUUUGGGCCCUGUCUUUGUAAGCCUUCGGGCCAUGAUUAAUAUACCAAAUUAAAAAAAAAAAAAAAAAAAAAAAUGUCAUCAGUUGCCUAGGUAAAGGACAUAGAAAAAUGCAUAGUGAAUCAUCCCUACUUGGUAACCCUGCCAGGUAAUCAGCACACCUAUUUGUUUCCCGGUGGAUGUGUUGCACUGUGAAGUUUUCUAGUCCUUGCCCCAGUUGCCUUGCUUUGUUAGUUUGCCUUCUUGCCCUCCAUGCUGGGAUCAUAGUACCCUUGAUACCCUCUACAGCUUGCUUAGAGUGAGUCUUCUAAUGCCCAUGUCAAUUGCCAAUUGCAUGCCAAUAGAUAUGGCUUCCGUUUCAAUGGUUGUGACUGUUUUUUCCUUUGUACCACCACAAAAAGCCAGCAAAGUAUUGCCAGCAUGGUCUCUAAAUAUACCACCUAUCCCAGCCUUUUCUUCAGUAAGUGAUCCAUCUGUGUUAAGGCAUAUAGUCUCUUCAUCAGGUGGCUGCCAUUUAUAGUAAAGCACAGUUUGUGUUCUCCAACUGAUUUGUGCUCCUGUAUGAUGGGCAAUAAGUCUGUUCAGGGUAUUGCCUUGUACUGUUUUCCUCCUCAUCUUGAUUCACUAGUUUUGCAUAUAUGAUAUGAGCAUAAUAAUAUGGUAUACUAUUCUCAACAGAAUCUGUGAGGUUUUAUGUUUCAAUUUGUUUACUUGAUUUAACAAUGAUUUCUUCCGUAAGAAGUGAAGAUUAGAAUAGAUUAUCCAUGUUAAUUAGACAAUGACAAAGAAGUAAUUCUCGAAAUUGAUGCAUAUAUUUCUUUCAUUUCUUGAUUCACUAUUGAGCCGAAUCUAUUCAUAUUGUUGGAACUUGGAAGUGUCUCUUUUGAAGCACACUAAUUUGUUAAACAGUGUCAAUGUUUCACAUUAUUAGCAACACAAUAUUUGGGUCAUUACAAACAAUGUCUUUCAACACUUUACUACAAUGAACAAUGGGAGUACUGUUUUACUUCAUGGUUGUGAGGAUCAAGGUUACUAUGAUUUCGAAAAAGAAGAAUUCAAACAAAUUUCAAUCGAUGGAAUUCAUUGCCCUCCAUACAAAUUACAAAUUGUUGUACACCUCGGUAGUCUUAUUUCUCCUAGAAGCAUUACUUGUACAAGUGAUGUCAGUCAAGUUUCAUCAGCUAAACCAAGAAGGCAUGUUGGAUUCAGGCUACAAAGGAAUGUGAAGAAACCAUCAAGGGCAAGGCCUGUUAAUUGCUUGCAUCACUAGACCCCUGGAGUUUAUCUUGUAGGCUUGUAUUACCCCCCCUCUCUUUUUUGAUUAAUAAAAUCUCUCAUUUAUCAAAUAAUUUUUUUUUAAUGCAGGCUGUACUCAAACAUAUAAACUGUCACAAUUCUUCCUCUUCAUGAAAGUUAUCAUUAGCUCUUCUCUCAGAUACGGUCCCCUAUUUUUGCUUGUGUUUUUCCUCCUAAAAUUGAGGGUAUGGACAAAUAACAGGUCUCAGAUGUUUAAGUCCAAUGCUUGGUGUUUGUUGGAAGAAACCUUGGCAAAACAAUACAAUUAUCUAGCAGGGUUUUUGCACAUUUGUCUAUAGCGUAAGGGUGUGUAUAUACCAUGCCUAACUGAUCAGUGAGUUGCAGGGGAAGGAAGUAGCAUAUCACUUGAUCAUGCUCGUAGUACCUAUUACUCCUUUUGUUUUUGUGUUGUGUCGAAUUCGUUUAGUCACAUCCCAUUGUCAUGAUUAAGAGCACCUUUUGUGUUGGUUGCAGACUUGGAUGCGUAGGAGUGGGCCUUACUGCCCUAGUUUCCUUGUUCUGUUAACUUCGUUGUGAAAAAUGUGAGGUUAAACCACUUUGAGUCUUACCAUUAACAGAAAUCAUGAAGGUUGAAGAUAUUAUUGGCCGGUGUAAAAUGGUGAGGUAAGGGUGAAGCAUGUAAUCAGCUUGUUGAAGGAGUUUUGGCCGUGAAUGAGCUAAAUCAUUCUGUACCAGGUGAGAACAGGUCAGUUUUAUUGUGAUUGGUAUUCUAGUUUUACCCUUCAAUACCUCAAGUUCAAAAUUUUUGUAACUUAGCGAGGAUUAAGUUGCAUUGUACCUGCCUAUAGAACAAUUUAACCUAACAAAGGUUGUUUGUAAGAUUUAUCUUCCAUAAAAGCUUGCUGAAAUGAAGGAACUGGAUGCUCCAUUUUUGUACUUAGCAGUUAGCACCCUGAAUCAUAUAUGGACUGCAGUAUACCAAUAUAUGGAAAUUUUGGAAAGAACAGUACAUUUUCUUCAAGCACUUACUUAGAAAGAUGUUGUUACAGUUUAAACUUUUUUGCCUUAAUUGGCAAGUAUGCCGUUGUUAAAUAUUGGCACUGUUUGAUUGGACUACAAAUUUCUUGUUCUAAAAAUCUUUUGAUGUCUCUAUUUUCGUGUAGGUUGUUGGUCUUGUUGGAAUCCAAAAUUUGCAUCUGGAGGCAUAAGGGCUUGUGUAUGCAUUGAGUUUCACAUAUUGCUCUUAGUUACAAAAUUAAGUUUAUCUUCUAUGAAUAAGAUUUAAUGUAUGUAUGUCAAUAUGGUAAAAGAGUGAGUUACCAGUUAUUGCUCGCGCCUCAACACCUACACUUACAUAUAUUUGAUCAAAAUAAACUUUAUUCAUUCGUCGAAGUACAAAUUACAUUAAUGUUUUUCCUCGGCUUGGUGCACACAUGACAUGGAUGUGUUAUCAAUCAAUUUCUCAGACGUUAUAGAACUCCAUUUUCUUUGGUCUAUACCUUAUAGAACUCCAUGAUCCAAUAAUUGUAUAUACAACAAACUUUCUCCAUUCUAGCAAACCCAGCUCCUUUUGCCAAAGUAUGAAAUUCUUCUUCAGUCCGUUCUUUUCCUCCUGGAUUUAAAGUCAUCAUACUAACAUCUAUUUCGAAAAGGCCUUUCGCAACAGUACUAGUUUCUGCUGCAACAGGUAGAAUUACUUCCACAACGAUCAAUUUCCCUUGGUCAGGCAAUGCUUUGUACACGUUCUUCAAUACUUCUAAGCAUUUUUCGUCACUCCAAUCAUGUAGAAUCCACUUCAAGUUUAAACAAGAUUAUGAUCUAUUAGCAAAAGUGAAAUAAUACUUUGAGAAUUAAUGUAGGGGUCAUUUGAACAUACAGUAUAUCUGCGCGACUCUACAACUUUCAACUCACCUUCAUGAAAAUGACUUCCCCAGUAGGAACACUGGCAAACAUACUUCCUCCAAUAUGUUCCACACCUACAACCAAAUCCAUUUUUUUCUUCAAAUUGUUAAAUCAUGUGUGCCAUAAUUAAAAGUGGAAUCAAUUACGCUCUGUGUUACUGACAGCAAAAUACAUACCAGGGUAAGAUGGUGCCUGUGCAAUCACAUGCGGCAAAUCGAAGUUAAUACCCUUAAUUGCAGGAUAUUUUGAAGUGAUUAAGCUAAUUGUGGUUCCAACACCACCACCAACAUCGACAACCUUUUUAAGAUCGUCAAAUCCUUUGUAUGUUUCAAGCAUUGUUUUCAUAAAUAUUGUAGUGUGGUUGAACAUUCCUUUGUUGAAAACCUGGUUAAAUCUCUGGUCUACCCCAGGGUACUCGAACGCAUGCAUUCCAUGAGCCCGGCUGAAUGCAUUCCCCCCUUCAAGAACCGUAUCUUUCAAAUGGAACCUAUAUUGAACAUAAAAAAGAUGAUUACUAGUACUAAUGUGGUGGGAUAAUGGAUACAUAAAGUUCAAAAGAACAUUUGAUAAGCAUCAAAUGAUUAUUUGACUUUCAAUUACACAUGAACAAAAUUUUGAACAGAAGGUGAACUCAUAGCCUAUGGUUGUUCAAUUCUGCUGGAUACAAGUUUGUGUUUGUGCAUAGCAAAAUCUAAGUCAGAUUAAUACUACAUCGAUACAUCCCUACCAGGAAACCCUUUCCUGGAAAUACAAUAUCCCAAGACCUUUUGCACAAUAUUAAAAACAUCGAACUUUGGCAGAGCAGAGUUUAUACAAUAUGAAUAUCACAAUGGCCUAAUAUUGUAAAUUUGUGAUUGUAUCUCUCAGAACGCGUGAGAAGCUAUCAAAUUUCCUAGUUAUGACUCACCUGAGAAGCUAUCAAAAUUAAUUAUAGAACAAAUGGAAAAACAACGAUAACGGAUUAGAAUUUACCAACCAGCUAUCCAUAAAGACCUUGUCCUGAACUAAAAGAAGAAAAGGAGCAAGUGAAACUCCAUCUGCAUUCCCAAUAAAAUAUUUACAAACAGAUGCCAAACCAUACAAUCUUUGAACUAGGCCAUCUUCAUUGGGUAACAAGAGAAGAUGUCAGCACAGAGUAACUUGCAAGAACACGCAGAAUCCUGUCAAGCAUAUUCUCUGCCUCUGGAUUCUUAGUCACUAAUUGAGAUGCAAUAAUGUUUGGCGAUAGUUGUGCACCUGGGCCUGCUUUAGCUAUGAUCUCAAAAACAUCUAAUUCAAUUGCCACUUGCAUGACCAUAGGUAGAACUGAAAGUUCUGCUAAUUGCAUGGCAAAUGAAAAAUCUUCAUGUUCAUUACUGAUAGGUUUCUGAUGAUUUUCCAUUGAAGACAUGUUUGUAAAUUAUUGUAAUGGAAAGACAGACCUUUUUCAAAGCUAAAUAGUAAACUUGCAAGUAUGAUCAUUCAUUAAUAGCUUAGAUGGUUGACAUGGAAAAAAACCUACCAUAAAGUUUUAGGUAAUAUUUAAUAUUAAAAUAAAUGAAGAAACUAUAUAAAGUAUAAAAAUUCUAAGAAAAAAAUAAAGGGCAAAUUAGAAUGACCCCACAGAUUUAUUAACUUAAUUAGACUUACCCCCACAGAUUUCAACUUAUAUAGAGAAACCCCAUAGAUUUGUAACGGAUGUUAGUCAACCGUUUUGACUUGCAUUUUAACACAAGAUACCUAAAAUACCCCUCAAUUAUUAUAUCUUUUUUUAUGUUUUAUCACUUUAUGUAAUAGGUAUUGCACAUUUUGGUCAUUGUUCUAAGAAGUUCUACUUAUAAUAUGUUCAGUGGGUUUUGAGUGAUGGGGUUGUACAACUUAUGUAUUAUUUUGAUUGUUUUUAAUUAAGAAAAAAUUAAUUAAAAAUCUUUCUUUUAGUAUUUUUUGUGAUAUAUGUACAUAGAUAGGUUUUGUAGGUGUACAAGUUUAGGGUAUUUUAGGUAUAUUGUGUUAAAAUACAAGUCAAAUUUAAGUCUGACCAGGUCAAUUGACGGUUGACUAACAAUCUGUUGCAAAUCUGUGGGGUUUCUCUAAAUAAAUUGAAAUCUGUGGGGUAAGUCUAAUUAAAUUGAUAAAUCUGUGGGGUAAGUCUAAUUUACUAAAUAUAUAUAUAUAUAUAUAAAUUGAAAAGCAUGGGCGGCAAACUUUUUAUGUUUGUUUAUAUAUUUUUGAAGAAAGCAUCUUAAUUUGGUGAAUUGCUGAAUGCUAAUGCUCCUGAUGAUACAUAAACAGAAAUAAUUUAAUGGUUGGGACUUUGGAAUCAUAGGGAACAUAAUUCACAGCCUAAAUUUAUGCUUAAAUGUAACUUAUAAGUUAUAAUAUAAUAUAGUUUCAAAUCAUAUCAAACAAAAUCCCCGAGUUGUUGUUAAAUGACUUAAAUCAUAUCAAGCAGAUGUCAUACAAUGAUAUGGGUACCAACAAUGAAACAAAUUAUAUUAAAAGUGUUGGAAAACAAAUAAUGUGUUGAUUACAAGCUAAUCAAAACACUAGUUGCACGUCAGCGCACAACCUAAUUAGGUCAAGUUCACAAGUUCAAUAUUUUUUAUAGAACUCGAUUACCGGUUGAUUAUAUAUUAUAAUGAUGUGUUCUUCGAUCCCUUAAUAAAGUUUGAUGAUGUGUUUGAAAGAUUCUUCUGCAGUGGCAUUAAUCUCUACUUGAACAGAUUCAAAUACUUCCUCCACAACAAACAGUUUUCCGGUCAUGAUCUGGAAGUGCUUUGUUGUAAUAUUCGUCGUUCCAAUGCAAAAUCAUAUUGUAUAAUUAGUAGUAACAAUGAUACUUGAUAUUUUAAACAUUUUGGGUUUGUAGGGCAAGUAAUUAAUAGAUUUCCAGUUUUCCACACUCCACACCUGCAACUCUGCAAGAAACAUAUCUCCGACUCCUCGCAUCAUUCCAUGUGUUCCACACCUGCAACUUUUAUAUAAAGAUCUGAUCUGAUCGUAGGCCCUAUUGAAAUAAUUUGAAUACAAUGCAAAAUUCAAAAUAAUUAUUGUAGUAGCGUGCUUGUCUGCCUUUAUAUUUUAAAUAUUAAUUUUAUUUUUACAAUGGGACAAUAAUUAAAAUCUUUUUGUAGAUAACAUUGAAACUCCAUCAUCUUUUUGAAUAAAAUAUUUGCAAACAGGCCAAACCAUACAAUCAUUCAAUUUGGGCAUUGUCAUGAGUGACAGACUUGCUUGCAAUAAUGCGUAGAAUUCGAUCAAGCAUAACAACCGCAUUUGGAUUUUAAGUUGGUAAGUGAGAUAUAUAGUAUAUAAAAUGUCUUUGGCGAUAGUUUUUCGCAACAAGUUAGGGAGCUCCGGACCUAGGCUGCUCAUUAUGCAGCCUGUACCCAAAACCAUUUUCAAGGUCGUAUCCCAAAGGAGAAAGUGUAGAGUAGGACUCGAAAUCAGCAGUGCAUUGGGAGGACACACCUGCAACCGCAGGUAGGGUUAGCCACUCUGUUCCAACCCGAAUGAAAUGAGGUUUUCCUUCUGCACCACUCACCAGUUCAUUUCCGUACAAUUUUUGUAUUGGUUUUGAACUUGCAUCUUGGAAUGGAUGGGUGUUUUUUUUUUUUUUUUCUAGAAUAUUCCUUACUUUCGUGCAAAAUGCUAUCUGCCCAUUUUUGGCUAUUUUGCUCUAAUUUUCACUUCGAAAAAAAUUGGAAACACCCCUCUCAUGUCUCAUCUGAUUUUCUGCAAGUUUUCAGAAUAAGGUAAGCAAACACAGUCUUUGUAGGUUGGGACUGGGGGACUUGAGCUUGAGGUAUAAGUAUAUAACCAAUUCACAAUUCAGUAUUAUAUAUGUAGGUAAUUUGCUAUUAAAUACGUUGAAUCUUGAACAAAAAAAAAAAAAAAAAGAAAGAAAAAAGAAAAAGGAUAUAUUGAGAUAUUUUUCCGUAUUAAUUUUUUUAUUAAUCUCGGAAUCGGAGGCUCUUCAUUCUUCUUGUCCAUGUACAGGUAAGGCCAGUCUUGGCCAAUAAAGAAAAAGAUUGUAACAAAGUUAUAAACAAGAAAAGGAAAACACAAAACAAUUUUGACCCUCCUUUAAUAUCAUUACUUGCCUCUUCUGUAAUUGUCUCUAAUGUUGGUGAAUUUGAAGACCUUUUCCUAUGAGUCAUAAGCCUGGCUGGAUGAACUUCAAUCCAAGAAUCCAAAUAUCUGACAUGCUUUCCCAUAUUCACAAAGGUUGAUAGCUUUAUACACAGAUCUCUCAAUUCCUUUUUCUUGUCAGAAGAAUAAUGAGAGAUGGUGGGCUGGAUUCUUGACAAACUCUUGACCAAAGAUUACUUUUAAGCUUUUUACAGGAAUUUGAUUGAGAAUGCUAGAGAAGUUUUAUUAAUUGAUUGAGAAUGUCAAACAAAGGUGCCUUGUUAUAUAGUGCAUAUUUUGUCCAAAUGUGGAGCAUAAGGGAGGUUAAGAAGUCAAGAUAAGUUUACAGCAAAGAUUGGUUGGCAGGUUUGAAAAUAAGUUAGAACUUGUUGUUUGUGAGGAUAUCUAGUGGUUUAUUUUCCUGUAAUAGUGGUAGAAACAUUCUAAUGCACAUUUUUAACACACAUAUUUAUGGUCUUUGCCCAUCUUAGAGUCCUUCUAGAUUUUUUUUUCUAUCUAUCUCUGGCAAGAUUUGGUUUAUGAAUAACGAUAGAAGUGUUCGCAUUUCAACUAACUCUGGCAAUAUAUGGUAGGGUGAAGUUUGACCUUAAUGCUUCCUAUGUUGAAACUUGAAACUAGUAAGCAAAACUUUGUUCUGUUGCUCCGAAAGAAAUUAAGCGCACUCUUCAAGAAAUACAUAUUAAUAUCAAAGUUAAGAAGAAAAAAAAUCCACUGAAUUAACAGAAAGAAAACGCAACUUCUUAGGCAGAAUGGAUCACCAACUCUAGAGUGUCUUCAUCUGCAGAUUUCUUUAUUCGAUCAGCUGCUUUCUCAACCUACAAAAGUAUAUUCGAUCGAUCAAAUUAUGUAUUUUAUUCACAAGACAUAUUGUUGAACAUUAUAUUAAUCAGAUAAGAAAAAAUAUAGACAUAAACCUUACCUCUUUAUCCCAGUUAGUCCUAACAGUUAAGAUAAUGAGGGUUACUGUUUGUAGUGCAACUCCAAGUAUCAUUCCCCACCAAAUUCCCUGAGAAUAAUAUCAUGUAUGAAACAACUAGCUAAAGGUUGCAAAGUUCCAGAUUAAUUUUUAUUGGACUAAGAUCUAUGGAAAUGCUUGAAAAAAAAAAAGAGUACUUACUUCUACUCCUAAAUUGGUUUUGAAGCCUAGAACACAUCCAACAGGUAGACCAAUAAUGUAGUAAGUACUAAGGUUAACAUAUGCUACCAAAGCUUGCCAUCCACUUCCAAUAGCCACACCUUCAUUUUCAAAAUAACCAAAUUAAUCAUCCUUUUGUAUUACUUUGGAAUAUAAUAACACAAUGUACCUGAAAGAAUUGGUUGAAUUCCAUUCAAGAACACUGAGAUUGCAAGCAAUGGAGUCAAUUCUGAAACUGCUUCAAUGACUGCUUCAAUACUAGUAUAUGCUUCACUUAAGCUGGUGCGGAAUAUUAAUACAAAUGCACUAAAAACUAAACUGAUUAAGAUACUGGUUGUGCAGACAACUUUAACUGAGAACUUUGCGACCCUUGGAUGAGCGGCACCAAGCUCAUUACCAACUCGAAUACUACGAAAGAUAAAUUACAUGUAGACAAUUAGAAUGAGAUUACUCAAUGCAUGAUCAAACCAUAACAGAGGAAAAUUAGAAUAAUGUCAUCAAGUGUUACUGACCUUGCCCCAGUACUUAGUCCCAACAUGAAAUUUAUAUCCAAAUUCAAGUAAUUCAAGCUGAAAUGUGCAAAAGUAACACAAGUUUGUCAACAACACUAAACAUUAGAAUGAAAAUCUUGAUUUCAAGGUAGUACUACAAGGGGGAGGGGGGGUUUCAAGUGUACCAACCAUAUGGAAAUAGAGUCAAGUGAGAUUGUAGGAUUAGGUAAGAGUCCUGAUAUAAGCACAAGUCCUUGGUUAUACCAUAUCUCCAAGCUGAUUCAAUACAAAUUUGUUCAGAAUCCUUGCAGUUAAAAAUAUUUUACCACAGGGUAAAAGCAGAGGAUUAACAAUAUUUACCAUAGCAUAACAGCAGAUGCAGCAGUCAGCUUGAAAUAAGGCCAUAACCCCUUGAAAGCCUUAACAGAAAAGCCAGUCCAAGUUUCUUUACAAGAUGGGCUUACAAGUAUAUAAAGCCCAGUAACUAGCACUAAAAGCCACCAAGAAAAACUCAGUACAAGAGCUGCUCCAAGAAGUCCAUAGGUUAACACAUCCACAGCUAACCAAGUGAGAAGUACAUGUAGAAGCAAGAUCCCAGCAGAAAUACAAGCUAAGGGGUUCACAAUGUUCUGUGCUUGCAAGAAUCUUUGCAUUGGACAAUAUAUUGCAAAAGCAUAAAGUUGAGGAAGUAAGCCUCUUGCAAAUGUUUGGCCUUGUUUUGCUAUACUUGAAGAUUGACCAAUUGCUUUUAAGAAUGCUUCUGAGAACCAAUAUAAGAAAGUAAGGAUAAAUGCUGCUCCUAAAUGCAGAAUUAUGGCUUUCUGACAAAUAAUUCCAAGUGAGGCAUACUUCUUGGCUCCAUAUGCUUGCCCACAGACAGUUUGAACAGCACUAGCCAUGCCCAACUAGAGAAAAAACAUCAAAAAUAGUUAGAUAAAUUGAUCAACGCGCAAAAACUCAUUGAAUGGCAAUACAGAAACUUUUCAUAUGUAGUACUAAUUCUCAAGAUAGUAUGAACAACAUAUAUACCAUGAUUCCAUAAGCAAGUCCUUGAAUUCCAACACUAGCUAUUGAAGCACCAGCAAGUUCCAAAACACCUAAGUGCCCAACAAACAUCUGAGUAAUCAAACUAAGCAAAAAAUUGCAGAUUGCAACAAGAAUCGAAGCACCAGAAAGGAGCCAUAAUACUCUAGACUCCCAAGCCACAAGACUGAGCCAAUAUCUAUAGCUUUUGCUUUUGUUAUCUGCAAGAAACUCUUCAAUUGCAUCAGAUGACUGCCCACCAAGACCAAGUUGCGAAUCAUGAUUUUUCAGUGUCAACAAAGGCUCAGUAGAAUCACCAUUUUCAUCCAUGAUGAUUCACAAGUUUUUGUUUCUAUUUUUUUUGUCACUCAUGAUUCUCACUCAUUCAUAUAGUUUCACUACCAAUAUUUUUGUUGUUUUGAAGUCUAGUAUGGUUACCACAAUGUGUGUAUCUUCUAUUCUACUAUUCUAGAAUAACAGGACAGUUAGGUCAAGCUACUACGUGGUCAUGCAUGCCACCUAAUUUCUAAAAGAAGUUUAAAUGAUCAAAAUUAGAAUCCAAAUAAUUGCAUUUCACCCUUAUCUUGGGUACAGUAAUCUUGGCACUACAUAUAAUAUGCAGAGCUUAACUGCAAUAAGGCCAUUUUUUUUUUUUUUUUAUUUUUUUGAAAAUGUUGCUUUCCAAUCUUGUAAUAUUGAAAAUAUUUACAAACUGCGAAUUGUUUUGCAGUUGAACCCUUAAUUAGUUAAUUAGCUUUUUUGCACCUCAAAUUAAUAGUUUUUCAUAGGCAGGUUUCCAAUAUGUAAAUUGGUAUAAAAGAACAGAAAGCAAAUUAAAUAUGCAAUUUAUGAGGAAAUACAUUACAAUUUACAAAACAAUGAAACAUUUUCUAUGUAGAAACCCUUAUUAGAAAUUUUAAAUUUCAAACAAACAACUAGAGAUUAAUAAGAACAUGUUGCCAUAAUCCGAUCCUAAACGUAUCCUUAAUUAAGCCCAUUUGGCCAUAAGUGCCAUGCCACCAGCACCAAGAAGAACUGCAACAUAACACUUGAGCUGUAGCUUUAUACUUCCUUGCAACUUUGGUCCCAUGAAAUCUUGAGCUAAAAGAUCUACCAUUGCCAUAUAGAUUAGUAGUCCAGCUGAUGAAGCAUUUAAUAGUCCUUCUAUGAUCAAAGAGUUUGGACUAUUCUCUUUAUAAACAUUUGAUAACAUAAUUCCAAUAACAAUCCCAAAUGGUGUUGUUGCAGAGAAAAAGAACACCAUUAUAGCUUUCUUCAAAAACUUGAACUCAGCCUGAAAUAAAAACAUGUAUAAGAUCAAGCAAAAAAGGUUCAUACUUCAUACAUAAGAGCCAAUCGAUUCGAGGCAAACUAAACCAAAUCAGUGUUAAGAAAAUAUGUUUACCUGAAGUAUGCUACCACCUAAGCCCAUUCCUUCAAACAUUUGAUGGAAGCAUAGAGCAGCAACUAAAGGCUUUAUGGUGCAAGUAUUCAUUGAGGCUCCUAGUGAAAGACCUAUAACCACUGAAUGCACAACAAUUCCUAGUUCCAGAACCUGCAAUAAAUUAAACAUUGUUUUUAAGAAUUUCGUGACACGGUGUUUUACAUAGUUUUUUUAAGCACAUUCAUUUUAGAAAUAAAAUAAUGUCCAAAAAUAUAGUAAUGUAGGAUGACAACAUUUUAAUGAAAUAAUCAUGUCAACAUUUUCAGUUUUAAAUGGACUAAAUAUUAAAUGAUCUGUAUUGAGGAGAAUAAAAUUCAAAACUAACCAUAGCAAUGACGCGAUACCGCAGCAAUUUUGUUUCAGCAUCUUCAACCAUUGGACCAUGAGAAUGUGAAUGAGCAUGUCCAUGGAAAUGCAUGACAUUAUCAUUUUUGGUUACACCCAUUUCAGAAUCAUUAAGAACAACUGCACCAUUUGGUUGAUCUGAACCUGAAACAGAUCGGCUUUUCCGGCUACCAAAACUUGUGAAUAUUGAGUCUACCAUUAAUGUUAAAAUAGCAGACAACAUAGCAACAAAUCCAGGGAAUGGAAACUUAUGCCAUGGAUCUUCAGGCAAACAACUUGAUGACAACAUAUCAAAUGAAUCUGGUAAAACAUGCAUGAAACCUGUUGAAAGAAUUAUACCAGACGCAAAAGCUUUUACGAUCAUAAAAAUAUCUUUAUCAGGAUGUAGAGAUGGAAUUGAACGUGUGAUUAGUGGUAAACAAACACCAAUCAUACUUGUUACCAAUAUAGCAGCAAAUGCUAUCCACUUAAGUGUCAAGGCAUAUGAUUUAUUCACACAAUGACUCUCUGAUGCUUCUGCUUCACAUUCUUCAGAAAUAACUUGAGUUGAAAAUAUUGAAAUGAGUAAGAAGAAGGUGAAGAGAAUGGUUUGGAGGUUUUUUGAAGUAGUAGCCAUUGAUCAAUUGAAAUUUGAUUUUUGAAUAGUGACUUAAUUUCUUCUCAAUAUCUUCAAUCAAUCAAAUGGUUACAUUUGAUUUAUACUUGAAGAAUUUAAUUGAAAUGGAUGGUUUCGAGGGACAUGUGGUUUACAUGUAGGUUAAUUUCAAUGGUAGUAUGACAUGUAAUGUGUAUAAAUUAAUAUGGAUGGUAAGGUGGGAAAUAUUUUCUUGAAGUUUACCAUAAGUAUGUUGUGCUUGUGUUAUACACAUUCCAUAGCACAUCUUAACACGAUUUUGCACUUUGUACACGGAUGACUGGGCUUCAACUUAUUGAGGUAAAAAUGUGUGCAUUAAGGUAAGGAGUGUGUUUGAUAAUUGAUGUAUGGUUGGAACUUGGAAGAUUUAUUUCAUUGAAUGAGCACAUUAUAAAUCACCAUUCAAUACUAAUUUGACUGUUUUAUUAGCUGUAGCUUGUUAUGCAUAUGGAUUGCUUGUGUUUUUAAGGAAGUUUCUCAGAGAUAACUUACUAAUUCACAGUACCCAAAUUGGUUGGUUGAUCACUACAGAAAACUGAACCACAUUGCAUCAACUUAUUACAGUAGUUCACAUCCAAGAUGUGUAUGAUUCUACCAAAAAAUCCUAGAUGUGCAUGAGUGUAUCCUGUUUUUUUUUUUUUUUUUUUGGUGAUAAAUUAGAGAUUUUAUUGAUAAUCAAGGGACAAUAGCAUAAUCGGAUGAUGGAGGCUAAGGGAAUUUGUAUCAAUACAUUUCAAUUUGAUUGAUUAUCCAAUAGUCGAGCUAGGCAGUCAUCGUUCAUGUCCAAAAUGUCAAGUGUCUUCCGCCAAAUUUUAAAACAUGAAUCCAUGUCCUCCGCUUUUGGUGACAUUUUACCUGGUUCACAGGUACAUGAGCAGUAGGGAUGUAGAGGGAGGCUACCACAAUGUAUAUCAACCGGAAUACCGGAUAACUGGUAAGCACAUACCUAACCAAACACGAAAGUGAACUUUACCACUCUUCCAACUUGGUCACGAGCCGCACACACACUUAGGCCCACAGUCACCAAGUUCUUUGUCACAUUAUCACUAGUGGCACAUAAAAUAACACUCCUUGCACCUAUAACAUUUUUUGUAGAAAUAUAACAUGUUAGUACACCAUAUAUAUAUCUAGGGUAUGUUUGAUUGGGAAAUCUGUUUUCCGGGAAAUAAAUUUUUAUGCACAGAAGAGUAAUUUCACAAAAGUAACAAAGAGAAUUGAAAACCCCUUCCUUGGUGUCUUUCUUCCUCCGCCCCUAAGUUAUAAGAUACAAGUAUGACACAGUAUAGUUUGGUUACAAAUAGACAGUUCCUUUAAAGAUGAAGAAAUUCUCGUUCAUCUUAAUGAUAAUUUUUGGUUACAACUUAUACAAACUGAAUAUAAUAGGAGUAAUUAAAAUUUAAAAAGUUUUUCCAUUUCAAACAUUGACAGAAAAAAUAGUUGCAAGGUGGCGGUGUGAAUGCUUAACAAAGUUUAAUUUAUAGAAAAUAAGAUUUAAGGUAGCAUCAGUAGCAGUCACUGAAUGAUGAGUCUCAACGAAUUGAAUGUCCAGAUGUAUCCUUAUUGAAAUUGCUUUAAGUUCGUUCGAAUACAAUUUUGAACUUUCUUCAAAGAGACAAGCUUUGGAAAAGGCACAUUAGCAAACCAAACAAAUUUUCUACUCAUUGGAUGGCCAGCCAAAAAAGGGGUUCGAUAACUACUCUAUAGUGAAACGAUAUUCGGUUAUCACCAUCAUGAAAUGAAAUGCAUGCUCCAAAGCCCAAAGAUAAAUCCACAAACCCAAUUAGCCUGAUUUUAGUGGAAUGGAGGCCCAAUACGUUGAUCCGGCCCGUUUUCUUCUUUCUUCUCUGUUAUAAUCUCUUUAACAUAAACCCUGUGCAGUACUGCAGUAUUUCUUCUCUCUCUCUCUCUCCAGACCUCUUGUUGUCUAGAAUUGAAACGAAGUUUCUCAAUUUCUUAUAGAAAGGUAUGUUCUUUCAACUACUCAAUAUCAAUUAAUCACUUAUUGGUUUUUUUUUUUUUUUUUUUUUUUGUAUUGAGUAUGCAUGUGUUGGUUAAUGCUUGUUUGACCUAAUUGAUGAUAACUACUAUUAUUAUUAUAUACACACAUAACUGAGUACCCAGAAUACUUUAAAUUAGUAAUUUUAAUAUAUGUUUUGAUCCUUCUGAGCAUGAAGUAUUGAAGUUGGUAGCAGAAAAGGUUUAAUUAGGGGGUUUCAAUGGUUUCAUAACUGGUCAAAAUUUAGUAACAAUCUCAUGCUUGGAAUGUAUUUAUUACAGGGUUUGAACCUGUUGUGGGUCAUCACUUGUUUUGACACUAUUAUGUUGGGUAAAUUACAUGAGGCUCUCCUUCUCAUCACUAUGUCGCACACCUCGUAUUACAGCUAUAGAGCAGAAAACCAUGUCACUUGUUCAAAACUCAACCAAACUUGAUCAUCUAUAUCAGAUACAUGGGUUUAUGCACAAAACCGCUCUCAAUGAAAAUAAUUUCAUUUUAGCCAAGUUAUUGCGACAAUUGUUUUCCAUGUGCUCUACGUUAAAGAAUUUGCAAUAUGCUCGUUCCAUUUUCGAUCAAAUCCCAUCCCCAGAUACUUUUAUAUGGAAUACUAUGAUCCGAGCUUACUUAAAUGUCCCACACACUCAAGAGUCAAUGUAUCUCUUCUUCCGAAUGCGUCUUCGAGAAGGCGUCUUUGUUGAUAGUUUUAGCCUUUCUUUGGCUCUUCAAGCAUGUGGACGAUCUGUAGAUGAUCGAAGUGGUAAAAGGGUGCAUACCCUUGCUGUUAAACUUGGCUUUGGUUUGGAUUUGUUUGUGCAAACAGCUCUCAUUGAGAUGUAUGCAAAGCUUGGUACUGUUGAAUCUGCAAGGAGUAUUUUGAAUGAAAUGGUUCAACCAGAUAUGGUUUCAUAUAAUGUUUUGCUAGCUGAGUACGUCAGAGUUGGGGAAAUCGAUUUAGCCCGUCGUUUAUUUGAUGAGAUGCCUGCAAGGGAUGUGGUUUCUUGGAAUACCAUGAUUCAUGGAUAUGCGACAUGUGGUAAUGUGGGGGUUGCUAGGCAAUUGUUUGAUAUGAGUUGUGAGAGAGAUCUGGUCUCUUGGAGCUCAAUGAUAGCAGGCUAUGCUAGAAGCAGGCAAUCUAACGAGGCAUUGAUGUUAUUUCAUGACAUGCAGUUAGCUAAUGUGAAACCUGAUGGUGUAACCAUGGUUAGUAUAUUGUCUGCCUGUGGUGAUAUGGGUGCCUUGGGCAUGGGUAAUAUUGUCUACGAGUAUAUAGAGAGGAAUCAAAUUGAGGUAGAUGUGAAACUCGGGACUUCCCUUGUGGACAUGUACGCAAAGUGUGGGGAUAUAGAUAAUUCCCUUAAAAUCUUUAAUAAGAUGAAUGUGAAAGAUGUUUUGAGUUGGAGUGCCAUGAUUAUGGGACUUGCUAACCACGGAUUUGGGGAGCUUGCACUUGAUCAUUUCUCCAAGAUGGUAUCAGAAGGAACUAAACCCAAUGAGAUCACCUUUGUUGGUGCACUAAGUGCAUGCAGCCAUGUGGGUCUCGUUGACAGGGGGUGGAAAUACUUCACAUCAAUGAAUGAUAUCUAUGGUAUCACUCCGAAGAUUGAGCACUAUGGAUGCAUGAUUGACCUUUUGGGUCGAACAGGGCACCUUGAAGAGGCAAGGGAGCUUAUAAGAAAUAUGCCCUUCCCCCCAGAUGCCAUUAUUUGGCGGACCCUCCUCAGUGCAUGUAGAAUCCACAAGAACGUGGAGGUAGCAGAAGAAGCUACAGUUAAUCUUCUUGAACUGGAACCUCAUGUAGAUGGUAAUUAUGUGCUUUUGUCAAACAUAUACACUCAAAAUAAGAAAUGGGACGAUGUUGCGAGUGUCCGGAGGAGGAUGAGAGAUGAAAGCAUCCAUAAGAUCCCUGGGAGUAGUUCUAUUGAAGUUGAUAAUGUCGUUUAUGAGUUCAUUGCUGGUGAUAGGUCACAUCCCAUGUCAAGGGAGAUAUAUGAAAUGAUAGCCGAGAUGACUGGUCGGUUGAAUCUCGCUGGAUACAAACCAUUGGUAUCAGUAGUUCUGCAAGAUAUGAAUGAGCAAGCAAAAGAACAUGGGUUGGCUUGUCACAGUGAGAAACUGGCACUUGCUUUUGGUCUACUGAGCACUGCUCCUCGAUCUCAAAUUUGUAUUGUAAAGAAUCUCCGAGUCUGUGAGGAUUGUCAUUUGGCAUUCAAACGUCUAGCUGUAAUCUAUGAACGGAAGAUAAUUGUUAGAGAUCGUACCCGUUUUCAUCAUUUUUUUGGAGGGUCUUGCACUUGUAGGGACUUUUGGUGAAAGAGCAUCUAACUUAUACCCAUUAGUAUCUUGAUAAAAUGUUUUUGUCCUAUCUGGAAAUCUUUUCCUUAGCAUAAAGCCUGAAUUUUUCCAUCUAGUUCUGGAGUAGAAUAUAGCUGGUGGUGUACUGGUGUGCGCUAAUCCUGCAUCAAUGUUAGAGUUUUAAGUUGAUUACUUGGAUAGCACAGAAAAUCAGCUGCUAAUUGGGACCAAGCAAUGUGUGAAGAAUUGGGUUGGAGCAGGGUUUUCCGUAAUGAAGCUUUGACCAAAUAAAAACAUACAGUAUUGUGCUUAAAAGUAUAUCACAAAACUUCAGGAAUAGUAAUCUCAACCUUAGAAAUUGAAUCUAUGUAUAUGAUAUAUGAUUUUUAAUAGUUGUGCUUCACGAUGGCUUUUGCAGUUUUGCUAUAUGCAAUAAGUCCAUAGCGACUUAUUUAUUAGACUUCUCUAACAAGUUUCUUUAAACUUUACUUUCAGUUCUAAUCUUGAAGAAGGCAUAAUGUUUUAUCUCAGCAAAAUUGAACAUACCUUGCGGUUGCCUCCCCAUCUUCUUGAUCGGGAUCUUGAUCAAGCUAUUAAGGGAGAGCUUGAGAAUCUUUUCGUGGAUAAGGUUAAAUAGUAGUCAACUCAGCUUUCUUCAUGUUAUUGACUUUUUGUAAUUUGUUGUACGUUGCUUUAAGUAAUUACAAAGUUGGGGAUUUUGCGUGAUUGUUUUGGUGAAGGUAAUUGCAAAGUUGGGGCUUUGUGUGUCCGUUUACGAUAUUACAAACAUUAGUGGUGGGUUCAUCUUUCCAGGAGAUGGUGCUUCAACUUUUACGGUAUGUGUAUAUUUAUGUCACUUCAUUCACUUAAGCAGGUCCGUCUUUUGAAUACUAUUUUUUCAUAUACUAAAAGGAUUUUCUGGUCUUAUAACAGGCUGAAUUUAGAUUGAUUAUGUUCCGUCCAUUUGUGGGGGAAAUACUAUCUGGUGAGGUUGAAGAAUCUGAUGCUAAUGGAUUGCGCUGUAAGUUUUACAACUGCCUUUCCACUUGCUUGAUUUUUGAAGUCUAGUAAAGUUAUUAUUUUUAUUCCGAAGGUACCCAUACCCACACUGAUAUAGUGAUAUGGGUUGUUCAGUUGGAAUGUAAAAUGGAAAUUGGAGACAAGAUAGUUGAAAGAAAAAAAAAACAAAAUUAUGGAUUCUGCGUUAAUAAAGUUAUGGAGUUAUGAGAAAACAAAAAACAAAUGGAUUAACAAUACAACAUAGUGUGCUCUAUCUUCCAGUGCCUAGGUUCCGUUUCAAGCAGAUAGGAAGCCCUAAAACCUUUUCUCAGCGAGACAUACAGUUUCAUUUCUCUAACAAGAAAAAGUUUUUGACAUUCAAUUUGGCUUCAAUAUUUAUAAGUUGUCAGGUUGUUAGGUUUGCUCAGCCGAUCCAAUAGGUCUUAUGUCGUAUCAUCAUAAUUGAGCACUCAAUUUCACCUGGCAUAUAUUUUCGUGUGCCAGCUUUAACUAUUAGCAUGCCCUUUGUCAUGUUUCAAUUUAGGGAACUGCCUUUAAUUUGCUUUUUUGCCAUACUUUUUAUAUUAAACAUUAAAAUUGCUUACUAUAAUAAAUGAUAUACACAUAUUUAAUUUAUUCAAUGUGGGUUUUCUUGUGAAAAUCUUGUGAGAGCUUUCUCAUAAUGUGGGCUGCGUUUAACUUAUAAUUUGACAUUAUUGUGUUAAUUGUUGCAUUCUAAAAGUCUAAUGACUCUAUCUAAUGUGGCAGUGUCUCUAGGUUUUUUCAAGGACAUAAUGUUACCUGUCCAUCUUUUGCCCAAUCCAUCUAAAUUGUAAGAAUCCAUGCCUGCGCUAAUUUGAGAGCUUAAUUAUUAUUUCAGUAGGAUUUUAACUAUGUCUAUAAACUGAUCUUAUUCUUCUUAUGAAAAAUGCAGCGCAGAUGGCAGAUGGACCUGGGACUAUGGAGGUGUAGAAUUGCCUAUUGAAAAGGAAGAGGAGGUUUUUCAUUGCUCUCAUAUUUUACAAUUUGAUGGAUAUGGUACAUUGGUACUUGAAAAACAAGAGUGCUAAUUGACUUCUGUGGUUCAAUCACAGAUUCGUUUCCGAGUUCAUAGUAUUAAUUAUCCUCCUAUCCCUGUUGAGCAAGAAAAAGACGCCAAACCUUUUGCUCCUAUGGUGAUUACUGUAAGUAUUUAGCAUUUGUUUUGGAAGACAUUCACUCCUUGUUGAAACCUUUUAUUCGUUUUACUACUCAUGUUGUUAGGAAGCAGUUAAUUGACUACGAUGGUUUACAUUUAUGUGAAGCCUCUGAAACUAAUCAUGUUUAAAUUUGUUGGCAGGCAUCAAUUGACUAUGAUGGUUUAGGCCCCACUUCAUGGUGGGUAUAGAGGAGCAUUUUCACAAAAGUAUUGCAGGAUUUUUUGCUUCGUAUUUCUGCUUUUUGAAUUCAGAGGAGCAUGUAUCUGAAGUAGCUAUAGAAACUAAUUUCUUCCUUUGUAUUUGUACAAGAGUCGAUGCAAAUAAUGAGCUUAUUUUUCACGAGUCAAUUUGGAUACUUCCCAGAUUACCUUUUUUUUUUUUUGAUAGAACUUCCCAGAUUACUUUAAAUUCAUUCUAUUAUAAUCUUAAAUUCAAAACAAUUUCUGCUUCUUCUUCUACAAACCCCUCCGCUAACUUCAAUUACUUCUUCUACCUCUUCAAUUCCAUCGACUUCCUCUUCUUUAUCAAAAAAAAAAAAAAAAAAAAAUCAACUUCCUCUUGAAGGGGUUUUAUUGAUUUGGAAGGAAGAGAACAAAAUGGGUAUCAACUUAUUACAGUCCUUCACAACCAAGAUGUGUAUUAUUCUACCAAAAAUCCUAGAUAAAUUAGAGAUUUUAUUGAUAAUCAGAAUAAAAGAGAAUACAAUCCUGAAUCUAGAUCAGCAUGCUCAAAGAGCAUCUUCAAAACUAUGUCUGACAGUAUGAGUUUAUUAUGUAUCAAACUAUAGACCCUGCAAGGGGCAAUGGCAUAAUUGGAGGAUGGAGGCUAAGGGAACUUGUAUCAAUACCUUUCAAUUUGAUUGAUUAUCCAAUAGUCGAGCUAGGUAGUCAUCCUUCAUGUCCAAAAUGUCCAGCGUCUUUUGCCAAAUUUCAAAACAUGAAUCCAUGUCCUCUGCUUUUGGUGACACUUUACCUGGUUCACAGGUACAUGAGUAGUAGGCAAAUCCCUUAACCAAGUUCUUUGUCACACUAUCACUUGUGGCACAUAAAAUAACACUCCUUGCACCUAUAACAAUUUUUGCAGAAAUAUAACAUGUUAGUACACCAUAUAUAUAUACAUUACGGUUGGUCGAGCGAUCUUAGUAUAAUUGCUGAAGCAAAACCACUGAUGGUGCGGUACGAUUGUGAUCACGAUCACUCAAUAGGAUAUCAACUAAUUACCUUCUGUACCAUCAAACAUAAAAACUAAGUUCAUCCUCGCGCCAGCAUUCUGAAAAAUAAUUUUGAAAACAAAUUAGUUAUAUCAAAUCAAAUAUAAUACAUGCAUUGUACUAUAAUCUAGAAACUGUUAUCGAUUUUGUUCAAAUUAUAACUAACCAAGUUGGUGCAGACUGCCCCUGGGUGUACUGCAAAACACUGCAUGGAGGUCUGCUUUUGGCCCAAAAGCUUGCCAGCAAGAACCUUGAGGAACAUAAUCUGGGAUCCGAGUAAGAAAAAAGAAAUAUCAAAUACCUAUGAAAAAGAAUGUAAUAAUAGCCUAGACAAAACUGUAUGACUUGGGGAAGUUUAUGUACAUGUGCAAGUUUGCUGGAUCCAUAUGCUAUCAUGCUGUUGUAUUUUCCUUCUUCAAUCCUGCUAUUCCAGUAUUGAGGUUCCACCACUCCAGAAUAGUGACCCUACAUGAAAAUUAAUGGAAAUUUAAACAAAAUAAAUCGCAAAAAACACGUUUUAAUUACCAGUAAAUAUGUCAUUUGAUAUAAGAGGAUUUCUUAUCGAUGUAAACUUACCACAGAGGAAACAUUGAUUAUGCGUGGUGACGGAGCUUUGCGUAAGGAUGUUAACAAAAGAAGGGUUAGGAGUGCUGGUGCAACAUGGUUCACUUGCAUGUGUUCCUCAAUUCCAUCACCAGUAAACCUUUGUGCAUCUACAAAUUCCGAAAUCAAACUCUAUAAACAUAGAGAUCAACGGAACGUAUACAUUUCCAAGUAUAUAAUCAUACAUGAAAUUAGUUCAUUUUUUCCCCACCGAAAAGUUAUGCCCCAAUGCUGGUUAUGUUGAGAACAAUAUCUGUACUAGCUAGAUACAUGGCGCUUAAUUAAUUGGUUCUGCGUACCUUCAAUUUUAAGGAUUCCAGCAUUGUUGAUUAGGAUAUCUAAUGGCUCUCCACGUCGCUCCCAUUCGUCAGCAAAUCUCCUGACAGACGAGAUGGAAAUCAGAUCCAGCUCCAUGACCUACACAAAAAUGUGUAUAAUUCUAAGAAUUUAGGUAGGGUGAUAUUAGUGGAGAUUUAAAAGUAUGAAAACAGUGAAUAUAUGAGGCCUACCCACUCAAAUGAGAUAAGGCAAGGAUGAUGACAAUUGGAUACAAUCAAUAUCAGGUUCAAGUCAAUGGCAUUCGAACCUGAUCCAUAUGGACUUGAUUGAAAACAGUAGUACUAGUGCUUACCUCAACAUUGGGCAUUCGGCUAUUGUAAACCUCUUCUCUCCACAUAGAUGCAAUCUUGUUUGCAGCAUUGACAUUCCUGCACGCCAUGAUAACGUGUGCUCCAGCCAUAGCUAAUUGCCUGUCAAACAAUUAAUUUAUAUGAUCUAAACAUCUAGCUAGAUAGGAGAAAUGAAUUGAAACAGAUACAUUACUUGGCUGUGUGAAGUCCAACACCACUGGUGGAACCAGUAACAAUAACAGUAAUACCAGAUAAAUCUUUAGAUUGAAGAAGGGAUGAAGUUGAUGGGAGAUGGUAAGUGAACAACUUCUGAAAUAUAGUUUCCUUCUGUAUCUCCCAAUACCUUAUAAAUUCCCAAGUGUUCUUCAACCAUGUUUUCCAAUUCAUUUUUGCUCUCUAAAGUCUAAACCAAUUGGUAUACACUAUACACUAUAUUGUGGCUAUAAUGGAUCUUGAUCUUCUCUCAUCUUGGUUGUGCUAGAAUUGCUUUUAUAUAAAUUUAUUCUUGGUCAAUACGUCAAUGUUUGUAUUAUUAUCCUCUCCCCAAGCCAAGAUAUAAACAAAAUAAUAUUAUCCACCUAAUUUUCCAUGAAGGGUCACCGACAGCAUAUAGAUCUGCAGUCUGCAGACCUGUUGAAUAUGAAUAUCUAUGGCAAGGUGCAGAUUUAUAUCUGUUCAAUGUGUAAUCAGUCAAGAUUAAGUAGAGGUUAUUCAAAUUAGAACUUUGACCUUGGAAAUUUGUACUGUCUUGUUGAUCAAGUAGGUGAUCAUGUCAUGUGAUAAGAUAUAAUUGCAUAAUAACUGUAACUUGAUUCUAGAGUUGUGUGAAAUAUUUAUACAUUUAGUAUGUCAACUCAGUAUUUGAUCAUAUAUGAAAAGGUUUCUAAGUAUGUUGCAUUUCAGAUUCUUGAUCAGUAGUAUACAGAAGAUGUCAUGGAAAAGAUUUCACUCUUAUCUCAUUUUUUUAUUAUACAAAAUAGAAGUAAUGAAAUAUUAUUAAAAGUUGAACACGUCGAUAGUUCGAGAUUAGUUAGCCCAAUGUACAUUCCUUCAAAUUCAUUGACUGUCCAACACUUGAGAUAGGUAGUCAUCCUUCAAUUCCAAAAUGUCCAGCGUCUUUUGCCAGACUUCCAAACAUGAAUCCAUGUCCUCUGCUUUUGCUGCCAUUUUACCUGGUCUACAGCUACAUGAGUAGUAUGCAAAUCCUUUAUCUAAGUUGUCUGCAACACUAUCGCUCGUGGCACAGAAAAUGGCACUCCUUGCUCCUAUAUGUUAUUCAAGGAAGAAUUAGUAUAUAUGAAGGCUAUCAUGUCAAUAUCUUGAAUUAUAGUAAUUUAGAUAGACAACUAUUAAUCAUUUACCUUGGGCAGGGCUAAACGCAAAAAAUAAUUUGUCCUUCUUCUCAGGAGUCUGAAAAUAAUUAGAAAUCAAGUUAGUUAUGCAAAAUGAAAUGUAUUCAAUCUAAUUCUUUUCACAAUUUGUUUGGUCAUUAAAUAUAGCAAGGUCAUUAACUAACCAAGUUGGUACGAACUGCCCCUGGGUUUACUGCAAUGCAUUGUACGGAAGCCUUAUUGUUGUCAAAAAGCUUGCUGGCAAGGGCUUUGAGAAACAUAAUCUGCUUCCAAAUAAGAGCAAUGAUCAAAUGUAUGAAACGAUAAGUUAAGCAUUGUUAUCAGCUCUCAGGACUUAAGACUAAACAAUUAUUUUCUUGGUGUGUUUUGGAAUUAAUUUAUAGUUUGCGUAAGUAUAUUAGGAGGGAAAUGCUUGUACCUGUACUAAUUUACUGGAUCCAUAGGCUUCAAAGCUGAUGAACUUUGAUUCCUCAAUCCUGCUGUCCCAAUAUUGAGGUUCCACUACUCCGAAAAAAUGACCCUGUAUGAAUUUAACCGGGAAAAAAAUUAGUUAAUACAAAGAAAUGGGCGUCUUUGUUCAGUACAAAACAACUAUAAAUGUCACACUAUAGAAGUACCACAGAGUUAACAUUGAUUAUGCGUGCGGAUGGAGCUUUGAGCAAAGAUGGUAACAGAAGAAGGGUAAGCAGAGCGGAUGCAAUGUGGUUCACAUGCAUGUGCUGCUCAAGUCCUUCUCCGGUGAACUUUUGAGACUCUAUAUCAAAGAAAAAAACAGAACCAUAUUAAGAACAGCACUGGAGCACAUAUGUACAAAAUAAUAUCAUGUCAAAUGUCAAUACAUAUUACCAUGUUUUACUAAACAUAUAUCAGAAUAAUGAUUUAGCUAUAAUCAUUUUUCUCUUAUUUGUAGAAUAUUGAAGAUUGCUUGUGUUGUGUUUAGACAUACUAUUAAUAAAAUGAUAAUGCAGAAUACGCUCGUGAUGGACAGACGGUGAUCUGAGGGUGAUGAAGCAGGGGCGAGGCAGUAUAAUAAGUACUGCAGAGCUACAUACAUAGCAGGGCAACAAAGGGACAUUGUAUGGUCUGUUGAGCGCGGCAGAGGGCAGUGCAGGGUGAACAGCACUAGUGGAUGUUGCUGAACAAGAUGCAAAGCCCGGCUUUGCCCAUACGCCUGUGAUGGGCUGGCUUGGAGCACGAUUCAUAAAAGUUGUAACUCAUACUCUCAUAGACCUUAAUAGGAAAAUGUUCUCUAGAAUGUACCUUCUAUUUUUAGAAUCCCGGCGUUGGUUAUUAGUAUAUGCAAUGGAUUUGCCUUUCGCUUCCAUUCAUCAGCAAAUCUCCGCACUGACAAGAAUGAUACAAGAUCCAACUCCAUAACCUGUUAAAAAUUGAAAGAUCGGUAUAACAAAUACAACUAGCUCAAACUUAAUAUAUAUUAAAAGUUUAAAACAGACGCAAAUUACCUCCACAUUAAGUUUUUUGCUAUUGGAAACCUCCUCUCUCCAGGCAGAAGCAAUCACUUCUGCAGCUUCAAUAUUCCUGCAGGCCAUUAUAACAUUGGCUCCAGCCAUAGCAAAUUCCCUGCCCAUACAUAUAAUUGAGUAAAAUUAGCUAUUGAUCUACACUGAAGUAGAAAUUUUAUAGAUGGAAUUCGCGCAAACUUAAGUAUCAAUAUUUGAUGACCCAAUUGUACAUGAUCAUGCCGAAUCAGUCUAGGACUAUGGGCCUGGUUCUAGACCAGUGGCAACACGGUAACCGCAGAAGGAAAAAUACAAGAGAAGAGAGUAGUUAGGAUUACAUACUUGGCUAUAUGAAGACCAAUACCACCAGUAGAGCCAGUAACGAUGACAUUGAAACCAGAUAAAUUCUUAGUCUCAAGAAGAGCAGAAGCUGUUGGAAGAUGGUAAUUGGUAAGUGAAAAACUUUUGCAAUAUAGUCUCCUUCAAAUAUUUCCAUGAACUUAUGAAUGUCCAAGUAAUCUUCAAUGUCUUCCAAUUCAUUCUCUCUCUCUCUCUCUUUUCAGUUACCACAAUUAUGUUUUAUACAAAAACAAGAUGAAGACUAAGGUGGUGUACGUGCUUGUAAUAUAUAGUAUCCAAACUACAAAGCCAUCUCUUCAUUUUUCUCAUUUCAAAGUCAUCACACCCUCAUUAACAUACUCAUUUUUCACAUGCCCAUUCCUAGGUGGUGGCCAAUUUGAUUCAAAUCUCCUGACAGACGACAUGGAAACCAGAUCCAAUUCCAUGACCUACACAUAAGUUCAACAAAAAUAUGUCUUUUGGUUGUGGAGGACACAAUUAGAAGUAUCUAUAAGAAUUUAGGUAGGAUGAUAUAUAUUAGUAGAAAUAUAAUGAAUAUAUGCGGCCUACCCACUCUAAUGAGAUAAGGCAAGGAUGAUGACAAUUGGAUACAAUCAACAUAAUCAAUAUCGGGUUCGAGUCAACGUCAUUCAAACCAGGUAUUGGCUUGAUUUGAAAACAGUAGUACUAGUGCUAACUGCUAACCUCAACAUUGGGCAUUCUACAAUUGUACACCUCUUCUCUCCACAUAGAUGCAAUUUUGUUUGCAGCAUUGACGUUUCUGCACGCCUGAUAACAUGUCCUCUAGCCAUAGCUAAUUGCUUGUCAUGUAUAUUGAAAACAAUUAAUAUCUAUGAUCCAAAGUUUCAAACAUCUAGCGAGAAAUGAAUUGAAAUGGUAUACAUACUUGGCUGUGUUAAGUCCAACACCACUAGUCACUAGUGGAACCAGUAACGAUAACAGAAACCCCAGGUGGAGAUGGUAAGUGAACAACUUCUGAAAUACAGUUUCCUUCAUUAUCUCCCAAUAACUUAUAAAUUCCCAAAUGUUCUUCAACCAUGUUUUCCAGUACAUAUUUGCUUGAUCUUUUUUUUUUUUUGUUAAGUAGCAUUCUAUUAAUAAAAGGCAAGUAUUACAACCAGGUUGUGAAUAAUGGUUCACAUUCUCUGGUACAGUAUAGUACAGAGGUAAGAAAAACAACUGAAAAACAGGGGGAAACAGCUCCAAAAGUCAAUCCGUCAUGGCGUGAGGAAAUGAACCCAGUCACAGGCAAGAUCCUGAAAGUGGUGGUCCCUGUUCAUUGUAUUACCUCCGAUCCAGUUCCAUAUAAAACCUUUACCAUCAUGAUGCAUUUGUAGCUAAGGGGUUCGACAUUUCUGAAAAUGCAGUCGUUUCUAAACUUCCAAAAUCCAAAUAGACCAUGUAAUAGCGUAAUGCAUUACCUCCUACAUUUUCUUUCCUAAACCAGUACCAGUAUAGUCAGGCCAGGUUUUAAAGAGCUUAUCCACUUUCUGCAAAGUAUCCAGGUAGUCUUCUAUAUCGUAGACGUCCUGCAGCAGUCUGAACCAGAUCCCUCUAGAGUAGAGAAGGGACGGUGAAGAAAAAUAUGGUCUGUAGUUUCAGGUAAUGCCUUACAUAAGCAACAGACAGGAUCAGCAACAUUUUUGCUCGAUCUCUAACUAAUUGGUAUAUACUAUUACAAUUGUCUUAUUUUUGUGGCUAUAACCUAUAAUGGAUCUCUUCUCUAUCUUGGUCAGUACGUCAAUGUUCGUAUUAUUAUCCCCUCCCCAAGCCAAGAUAUAAACAAAAGAGAUUAUAUUAUCCACCUAAUCUUCCACCAAGGUUACCAACAGCUUGUAGAUCUGCAGUCUGCAGUCUCCACAACCAAAAGAAAAUAUUUCUAGAUUUCCACUUCACAGUCUUCUUGUUUCAUAAUUGCAUAAGAACUGUGACUUGUUUCUAGAGUUGUGUGAAAUUGUUGUAGAUAUAGAAUGGCAACUCAGUAUUUGAUCAUAUAUGAAAAGAUUUUCAUGUAUGUUGCAUUUCAGAUUCUUGAUCAGUAGUACACAGAAGAUGUCAUGGAAAAGAUUCCACUCUUAUAUAUAUGAUUUUUUAUUAUACAAUGUAGAAAUAUACUUAUAACUUGAACAUAUCACCAGUUCGAGAUUAAUUAGCCAAAACUACAUUCCUUCAAAUUCAUUGACUGUCCAACACAUGAGAUAGGUAGUCAUCCUUCAAUUCCAAAAUGUCCAGUGUCUUUUGCCAGACUUCUAAACAUGAAUCCAUGUCCUCUGCUUUUGCAGCCAUUUUACCUGGUUUACAGCUACUUGAGUAGUAUGCAAAUCCCUUAUCCAAGUUGUCUGCCACGCUAUCGCUUGUGGCACAGAAAAUGGCACUCCUUGCUCCUAUAUAUUAAAGGAACAUUUAAUACGAAGGCUAGCUUGUUAUUUUUCAUAAAUUAUAGUAAUAUGGAUAUGUUAGAAUACUUGUAGUCACUUACCUUGGGCAGGACUAAAAGCAAAAAAUAAUUUAUCCUUUGGCUCAGGAGUCUGGAAAUAAUUAGAAAUUAAGUUAGUUGUGCAAAAAUAAAUGUAUUCAAUGUGUUUGUUUAGUCAUUCAAUUCUACGAGGCGUUAACUAACCAAGUUGGUACGAACUGCUCCUGGGUUUACGGCAAUACAUUGUAUGGAAGCCUUCUUGUUGUCGAAAAGCUUGCUGGCAAGGGCUUUGAGAAACAUAAUCUGCUUCCAAAUAAGAGGAAUGAUCAAAUGUAGGAAAGGAUUUAUGCAUUUUUCUCAGAUAGGACUUAGGACUGAACAAUUAUUUUCUUGGUGUGUUUUGGAAUAUAUAGUUUGUGCAACUAUAUGUCUAUAUCAGGAGGGAAAUGCUUGUACCUGUACUAAUUUGCUGGAUCCAUAGGCUUCAAUGCUGUUGAAUUUUGAUUCUUCAAUCCUGCUGUUCCAAUACUGAGGCUCCACUACCCCACAAAAAUGACCCUGUAUAUAUGUAAUGAAUAAAAAAAAGGUUAAUACAAAUAAAUGGGCGUCUUUGUUCAGUACGAAACAACUAUAAAGCCAUCUAAUAUAAUGUCACACUAUAGAAGUACCACAGAGUUAACGUUGAUUAUGCGUGCAGAUGGAGCUUUGAGUAAAGAUGGUAACAGAAGAAGGCUCAGUAGAGCAGACGCUAUGUGGUUCACAUGCAUGUGCUGCUCAAGUCCUUCGCCAGUGAACUUUUGGGACUCUAUCAAAGAUUAAACAGAACCAUAUUACGAACAGUAGUAUAUACAAAAUAAUGUCAUGUCAAAUGCCAACACAUAUUUCCGUAUUUUACUAACAGUAUAUCCGGAAUAAUUAGUUUUAAUUCUAAUCUUGUUUCUUCUAUCAUUGUUAGAGUAUUGAAGAUUGCUUGGUGGUGUUAAAAUGAUAAUGGAAAUUCAGGGUUUGUGGCUUUAAUUUAGGGGUGGAAUGCUCUCAUGGUGGACAGACCGUGAUGAUCUGAGGCUGAUGAAGCAGGGGAGAGGCAGUAUAAUCUGUACUGCAGAGCUACAUACAUAGCAGGGAACAAAGGGACAGUGUAUGAUCUCUUGAGCACGGCAGAGGGCAGUGGAGGGUGACCAACAGGGCUGUUGCAGGUAUUAUGGUCGUUUUUCUGUUGUUCUGAUUUCAUUACCUGGUGAGGUUAGUUAACACCCACUACGUGUUAUUUGGUUCAUGCUGAUUGAAAGAAUAAUUCUAUUUUAUAAAGAAAACUAUAGUAAAUAGGAUAAUCUACAUGAAUAAAUGCAUUUUGAAGAUUUAGAGGAUCUCCUUCUUGUAAAUAACUAGUAUGUUAGCCCGUGCUACGCAUGGGUUAGUUUUAUUUUCAUCUGUAUAUGUUCCCAUUAUAAUUAUAAUUUUAUUUUUUUUCUGACAAAAUGGUAUACCGAUUACCAAGCAAACCUAUGUCAAAUUUGCUUGAAGACAAAUGUUUUUUUUUUUUUUUACCCGAAACUCUAAAGUUCAAUUCUCAUUGACUGGAAAUACAGAUGAAUUUUAUUCAGCUUUAUAAUUGUAGAAAGAUAAGUAAGCGGUAAGACAGUGGUGGAUGUUGGUUAAGUGACUGCAAAGCCCUGCUUUGCCCAUACGCCUGUGGUAGGACUGGCUUGGAACACAAUUCGUAAAAGUUGUAACUCAUAGACCUUAAUAUGAAAAGGUUAUCUGGAAUGUACCUUCUAUUUUCAGGAUCCCGGCGUUGUUUAUUAGUAUAUGCAAUGGCUUUGCCUUUUGCUUCCAUUCAUCAGCAAAUCUCCUAAUUGAUGAGAAUGAGAUAAGGUCCAACUCCAUAACCUGCUCAAAAUCAAAGGGUGAGUAUAACAAUUAUAAAAGUAUAUAAGAACUAGCUCAAAAUCAAAGAAUAUAUUUAAAAAGACGCAAAUUACCUCCACAUUCAGGUUUUUACUAUUGGAAACCUCUUCUCUCCAGGCAGAUGCAAUCACUUCUGCAGCUUUGACAUUCCUGCAGGCCAUUAUAACAUUGGCUCCAGCCAUAGCAAAUUCCCUGCCCAUACAUAUAAUUGAGUAAAAUUUAGCUAUUGAUCUACACUGAAGUAGAAAUUUUAUAGAUGGAAUUCGCGCAAACUUAAGUAUCAAUUUUGUUUUUCGUUAUUUGGUGACUUAAUUGUACAUGACCAAGAGCCUUUUGUGUGGGAUCAUGCCGAAUCAGUCUAGCUAGCUAGGACCAUGGGCAUCUGAGUGUCAAGCCUCCAGGUUGAGCCUGGUUCUAGACCAGUGGCAACACGGUAACCGCAGAAUGGAAAAAUACAAGAGAAGAGAGUAGUUAGGAUUACAUACUUGGCUAUAUGAAGACCAAUACCACCAGUAGAGCCAGUAACGAUGACAUUGAAACCAGAUAAAUUCUUAGUCUCGAGAAGAGCAGAAGCUGUUGGAAGAUAGUAAGUGAAAAUCUUUUGCAGUAGAGUCUCCUUCCAAUAAUUCCAUGAACUUAUGAAUGUCCAAGUGAUCUUCAAUGUCUUCAAAUCCAUCUCUCUUUCUCUCUCAACAAGGAGAGACUUUCUUUUAAUUCACUUUAUACAAAAACAAGAUACAAGAACAUAGUGCUAGUGGUGUGCUUGUACAAUAAUAUUCAAACUACAGUAUACAAAGAAAGUCAAAUUCACAAGGAAAUGUAAGCCUGCCAUGACCAUCUCUUUCAAUUUUCUCAUUUCUAAGUCAUCGCACUCAUUUGUCACAUGCCCAUUCCUUGGUGCCGGCUUAUUUGGUUCAAAAAACAUACUUAUGUAUCCAUAGAAAUAUUCAUAAAAUAGUGGAUCAUUAUUGUGAAAUAAUCAAUUCAUCAUUCAAACUUCCAAGUCCAACUUCUUUAGUCCAUAUUCUCCUCUAUUUAUUUAUUGGAAUAAAUAAAAAUAUUAUAUAUUACAAUUGCAAAUUCAAUGCUGACUUUAUAAUUGUGCAUAUUUUGCAAUAUGGGAUAGAUUUUGGAAUAUGUGAAUAUUAUUGGCCUUGCAACAAAAGUUUCCAAGACGAAUAAUGUAAUCUGGUAUGGACUCAGAAAAUUUGAGUUAAACUACAAAAAAUCAUUUCCUAAGUCAAAAUUGAGUAUCCUAAUAGGAUUGAGUCAAACAUUUUCUGAGUCGCGAAAACCCCUCCUAUAAAUGAAUAAUUGAAUACUCCAUAAUUAUUUGCGGACAAUUAUAGGGACAACUUAUGUGACAACUGGUGAUGUGUUUAUUCCACAUCAGCUACUUCCCAAAACAAAAUUGCCACGUGUCUAUAAUUUACAAAAAUAAAACUAAAAACUCGUCUCAAGUCCAAACCCAAAUGUUUAGUUAGGUUUUAGGCUUGGACCUAUGUUUAGUUGGCUUAAGGACACGGGUUUAAGGUUUACUAUCGCAUAAGUCCAAUAAUACGGAAAAUCGUUAGUAUCCAGGACAGAGUCGUGUUUUAUUAGUUGGAUAAAAUUUAGAUAAUACCAGAACUACCCUCACAAGCAGAGAUUGGUUUUCUUCUUAAAUCUGUUAAACCAUCGUAGCAGAAUCACUAUUAGUCUUGGGAAGAGGGGAAGCUAGAUUGGUGACUGGUGAGAGAUGAGUCGAAGCGAAGAUGAUGAAGAUGAACUGGCGCCAAUGACAUCUAUAAGGACAACGACGAGUUUAUCCUCAAGAAGCUUUAAAUCGCUCUUUGAGAAGUAAGAAAACAAUCCAAUUGAUAAUUCUUAAGUUAGUUUCUUUUUGAAAAAUAUAUUCUGUUUUUUAAUUUGUUGUUGAUUGUGUUUAUAAACUUUUAUGUUUGAUUUGAUGAUUAUAGUCUGAAGACAAUUGAUAUUUUGAACCCUGUAAGAGUACUAACAAGUUUUGAUUUUUUUAUCAAUUUGAUUGAUGAAUUGUGGAAACUGUUGGAGUUGAAGUAGUUUUAUUUUUGGAUAAAUAGGCAACNNNNNNNNNNNNNNNNNNNNNNNNNNNNNNNNNNNNNNNNNNNNNNNNNNNNNNNNNNNNNNNNNNNNNNNNNNNNNNNNNNNNNNNNNNNNNNNNNNNNNNNNNNNNNNNNNNNNNNNNNNNNNNNNNNNNNNNNNNNNNNNNNNNNNNNNNUCACGAUCAGCAAAGCUGCAGUUAGUGCUGCAAACAGGGUUUUCCCUCUGGAGGAUUAGGCAUUUUACUACUCAUCAAAGGAUUACGUUUAUCUAGCGAAAAAAAAGGAUUGUGUUUAGGUUACAAGAGCUUAUUCGAAGAAAUACGAUGAACAUUCCCCGUUGAGAGAAACAUGAAGGUGAAAUGUUUUUUUUUUUUUUUUUUGUAAUUAUUGUUGUACUUGUACUUGUGGGAUCAAGAUCAACUAGCCAAGAACAUAACUAUGGAGCAAGGGAAAACAUUGAAGGACGCCCAGGGUGAUGUGUUUCGCAUUUUAGGUUAGUAUUUUUAUUAUUUUGUUUUGAGUAAGUUUUUAUUCAUUAGAUGAAUGUUUUAUCUUAUUAGUAAUAUAAUUGAAGUUUAAAGAUUUACUCAUGUGCAAAAGUAUUAAUGUGAAUGUUAAGAAAUAACUAAUGUGGAAUUUGAAUCGAAUUCAUCCAUAUUGUCAAUAAUGUAUAUACUCAUGCUUGGUAUUUCACUAAUGUUCUGUCAAAUUGUAAAUUAUUAGUCUGAGAGUUAAAUGUUAAGAGUUAGGCAUGUGUCAUGUCAGGCCAAUAUGGCAGCAUAUCUUCUUGCCAAACGAGCAAUAUCGGCAUCUUGUUCAGCUCCUUGGUUGUAUGCCUCUAGUGCAUACACUAGAAAGGGCUGAUGGUUUGUACUGUUUGUAUUUUGUGUGAUAUAUAAAAUUGUUUUUGUUGUUCAAAAAAAUAAAAAUAAAAAAAUAAAUGUUUAGAUAUACCGUCGAAUUGCCAAUUUGCCAUACUAGUCUGAAUGUAGGCAAUGGUGAGGCUAAUGGGGUCCACAGUGGAGCGAGCAAGGUUGUGAAUCAUGGCAAAGGCAACGAGUUGCAACAAAGUACAGAUUGUGUAGUAUAGUCUUGAGUCCUAUUUGCCAUUGAAUUGCCAAUUUGCCAUACUAGUCUGAAUGUAGGCAAUGGUGAGGCUAAUGGGAUCCACAGUCCUGGGAGCGAGCAAGGUUGUGAAUCAUGGCAAACGCAACGAGUUGCAACAAAGUACAGGUUGUGUAGUAUGUUGUGCGCAGCGGAAGCUUAUGCACCAAUACCCAAGAUUAGAAUAGUGUGUGAAUCAAACAAAGCAAAACAAAACAAACACAAAACACAAGAUUUACGUGGUUCGGCUAAUAUUGCCUACGUCCACGACCAAAACAACAAUCUUCCAAAUAGAGACGAUUAUACAAGCCCUCAUGAAGAAACCAAAGUGUUCUUCCUCACAAGAGUUCUCUCAAACUCACCAAUGGCUUCUCACAAUCUCUCUCUCACAUGAAGAUUAGGUUUUCCAACCUUCUCAAUUGGCUUUAUAACAUAGCCAUACAAAACACACACGAAAUGGGCUUAAACAGGCCCAUAUACACAAAACCAAGAUAGGACGUACGUACGUCGAAUUGACGUUCGUACGUUCAGCCACAAAACCAACAUCUGUCGAAUGGAACGUACGAACGUCCUAACUGCGUACGUACGUUCCUGAACCAAAAAAUUCCCUGCAUCCAAAAAAUUCCAACAUAGUAUAGUCUUGAGUCCUAUUUGUACGAGAGUUUGUACUUAAUGUCUUAUCACCUGAAGGUGUUAUUCAUUCAAACUAACCAGGUUGUAACAGGAUGUUCGCGUGAAUAAUAAAAUUUUAGUUUAAAUUGUGAAUAUAGUAUUGUUGGAUGGAUCCAUAAGCUCUAAAUGGUAAGAGCGCUCAAUAAAUGAGAGGUUGAUGGUUCAAAUCCAUCUGGAUUCAGUUUGUGUCUAGUAUUAAUAUGAUAAACAACUAUUGUUGAGUUGAUUACUUUAUUAAUCAACUAUUGUUAAGUUGAUCAAUAUACUAAUCAACUAAAUAGAAACGAAAAUAUAAAUUUCUAAGUUGAUUAAUGUACUAAUCAACUAUUAUUGAGUUGAUUAAUGAACUAAUCAAUUAGUGUUAAAAUAAAUUUCGUAGUUGAUUAAUGUACUAAUCAAUUAUUGUUAAGUUGAUUAAUAUAUUAAUCAACUAGUGUUUUACUUGAUAAUAUACUAAUCAACUAAACAAAAAGAAAAAUAUAAAUUACUUAAUUGAUUAAUGUAUUAAUCAAUUAUUGUUGAGUUGAUUAAUAUACUAAUCAACUAUACAAAAAAAAUAUAUAAAUUUUUUGGUUGAUUAAUAUAUUAAUCAACUAUUCUUGAGUUGAUUAAUAUACUAAUCAAAUAAUUUAUUAGUUGAUUAAUCAACUUUUGUAUUAAUGUCAGUAUUAGAACUAAUAAAGGUGCUAAUAAACUUAUACUGAUUAAUAUGUUAAUCAACUGAUAUACAGGUACAUCCAUUCUAAGUUUUGCCAAAAAAUAAUAUAGCUUCAGCUCUCUCUUAUUCCCAAUCCUCAUCUCUAAAUAAAUUUUCUCAUCAAUUUUAAAUAAAGAUAUAAAGUUAGAUUUCAACAACCCAUGUGGAUAUAUGUUUAAAGAAGUGAGAAUUAUGAUUUGAAUUCACCUUCUUAAUUGCAAAGGAAAAUUAAAUCUCAAAAACAAGCUUUUAUAUGAUGAUUUGGAUUAUGGAUACAAAUUGUUCAAAGGUUAGAGAAAAUUAUUAAAUUAAUUAAUCAUCGUUAUUAGGUCUACUAAAAACAUAAAACUGAAAGAUUUGUAGUAUUGGAGUUAUAUUCAAUAAAAAAUCUUUGAAUUUGAAGAUCAAACACAAAAUAAAACUAAAAAGUGAAUGAAGAACCCCGACGGCCCGACUAUUAUUAGAGAAAAUGAUAAAUUAUUUAAUUAAAAAAAAUAGUUAGAGAGAGAGAUCGCCGAGGGGACUGCUCAGUUAGUUGAUAGAGAGAGACGGUGGAGAGUGAAAUCACCGAAUAGAAAGGAGACAGGGGUAUCUUAGUCAUUGCAUAUUAUUGUCCUAAAUCCUAAGCAAAUGUUUGUAUGGUCCUUGGGCUAUAUAAAACUUGUUAUCUGGUCCUUAGACCCAAAAUGCCGAAAAUAAAAAUAUAAAAAAAAAACACUUAUUCGGAUCCCACUAACAAAUUAAAGUCCAAAGGUCAAAGAAAUUAGCUGAUGUGGAAUAGACACAUCAUCAGUUGCAACAAAACAAAAAUUGUCCCUUAUAGUUGUCCAUGUAGAAUUUCAUUAGCCAUAUAUAUGUUUCUUCAAAUUCAUUGAUUGCCCAAUACUUGAGAUAGGUAGUCAUCCUUUAAUUCCAAAAUGUCUAGAGUCUUUUGCCAGACCACUGAACAUGCAUCCAAGUCCUCUGCUUUUGCUGCCAGUUUACCUGGUUUACAGCUACAUGAGUAGUACGCAAAACUCUUAACCAAGUUGUCUGCUACGCUAUCACUUGUGGCACAAAAUAUUGGACUCCUCGAACCUAUAUUGUUGGCAAAAUUGUAAGUCAUGCCGAUAUAGAAAGAAGUAAACAUACUCGUAACUCGAUUAAUCAGUUUAAGCUCAGGGUCGUGGAUGCUUAACUCAAAGAUUAUCGUUUAUUUUAGUUAACUACAAGAUCAUUGUCAAUAAGAUUCCGAAAAUUACAAUACUACACCAGACAGUAGUUUCAGCUUUGAAAUUAAGAAAGUGAGUUGAUCAAAGGUUAGUUAAUUACCUUCAACAGCAUCAUACAUAAAAAAUAAUUUUUUCUUUGACCCUUCAUUCUGUAAAUUUUGAGAAAUCAAAUUAGGCGAGCAAAAAGGAACUAUGGAAGAAUAUCAAUGUGGUUUAAUGAACCAUAAUAAUCAUAUAUUGUGGUUCUAAUUUGUCUCGACACUUUUGGGAAACAGUGACUUACCAAGUUGGUGCAAACUGCCCCUGGGUGUACUGCAAUGCACUGUAUGGAACCCUUAUUUCUGUCUGAAAGCUUGCUUGCAAGGCUCUUCAGGAACAUCAUCUGCUUCCAAAUAAGAGGAAACAGCAAGUAUAUGAAAAGGGGAAACAAUACUAUUCUAAAGUAAUAUUAGAAAUGAACAUAUUAAAUAAAAAUGAAGCUAUUUAUUGGAGCUGAGUGUCAAAUGGUCUUAAUUAGAGCAAUUAUAUGUGUUAUCCACCAACGAUAUCAAUGAGAAUUUUAUAUUUGCAAUUGUAAUUCAUGUGAUUUCCUUUCCUUAUGAAUGGAAAUAAAAGAGAAGACGGAGGAAAAGUGUCAUACGUGGACUAAUUUACUGGAUGCAUAGGCUUCAAUGCUACUGAUGUUUCGGUCGUUCUUGCUAGUCCAAUAUUGAGGUUCCACCACUCCUAAAUGAUUAACCUACAUGAAUUUGAUGUAAGACAGAGAAAAAGAACUGAGUAAAAUCAUAGUUUAUUUUUCUCGAUAAACUUUGAACAAAAGUAGAGUCACAGUAUAUAAGUACCACAGAGUUAACAUGGAUUAUGCGUGAGGAUGGAGCUUUGAGUAAAGAAGGUAAAAGAAGAAGCGUCAACAAAGCAGGUGCGACAUGGUUCACAUGCAUGUGCUGCUCAAGCCCUUCACUGGUGAACUUUUCUGACUCUAUCAAGGAAAACAAAACCAAAUUAAGAGUAAGAAAAAGUAUAAUAAUCACUAUUUAAGAUCAAUGAUGUAUCCUAAUAUACUUGUUACAAGGAGUCAAGGAUAGAAGAUCCAAACAGGUGAUAUAUCCGAACUCGCUUCAAGUAUAUCAAAUAUAAAAUAGGAAUUGUUUCUACUUUCUAUCGAAGUAUCAAACUCUAGCUGCACUGUUAAACAGGCGAUAUUAUAUUGUAGUUAUUUAGAAUUUUCCCUUCAACCAAAUUUCCCUUUCAACUAAAAUAUGCCUUCUUGUAAUUUUCAGCAACCUCCCAUGUCUUCUUUUAAUUAUCACUUUCAAGUAGAUGUCAUAUGCUUUUGCAGUUUUGCCUUUUGCGGGGUAUAUUUCAUUCAUUGAAACGCUUUGGUACAUGAUCCAGUCAGUUUCUCACUUAAUUGAUCAUGAUCAUGCAAAUACAUGGUCAUGAAAUCAUCUAGCUAACAGAACUGGAAGGUUUGUAAUUUUAAGUCAUUCACCUCGGCACUCUUUUAUUUGCUAUACAUGCCGUAUAUUUGUAGACCUGGAAACCGCUAUAAGAGUUUCCAGAAAAUCAAAAUUGUGUCUGGUUCCCAUGAAGAAAUAUGGAAAGCAAAUGAGUGGCAUUUACCAUUUUUUUUCUAUGAACCAAAUACAGCCUAAAUGUGUUAUGUGAAAUGUAUUCGAAAAUGUAUCCAGCAGUUUCUACGUGUACAAGGGAUUAUAGAAAGUUCAAAUUCACCUCCUAGUGCAAGCAUUCCCGCGUUGUUUAUUAGUAUAUGCAAUUGCUUGUCAUGCUGCUCCCAUUCAUCAGCAAAUUGUCGGACUGAUGGGAAGGAAACAAGAUUCAACUCCAUAACCUGCGUGUACCAUGUACAUAUAAAUAAAACCAUUAUAGGCAAUAAUAAAAUCAAUUCAAAAUCAGAACAUAAAUACUACAAACGCAUAUUACCUCCACAUUCAGGACUCUGAUAUUGCGUGCUUCUUCUUUCCACAUAGAUGCAAUCUUUUUUGCAGCUUUGACGUUCCUACAUGCCAUGGUAAUGUGCGCUCCAGCCAUAGCAAUUUCCCUGCCAUACAUAUUGUACAUUGCCAAUAAACAAAAACAAAAACAAUUUUAGUAACUUUCAACAUUGAAACUAUAUAACUGAACAAAUUAAAUUAGUACAGAAGAAAUUAAUGGAGUAUGUGGAGAUAUAUAAACUCUGUUUCAAUAAACGGAAAUGGCAGAGUGUUAAUAUGUUUUGGUGACCCAAUUAUACAUUUGUACAUGACCAACAAUCCAACAUGUAUGAAUGAGGAUUACAAGACUAUACAAGAGCCUAGUACAAAAUGCGGCGAACUCCAGCAUAAAAUUUAGUACUAUAUUCUAAGGGUCAGAACUCAGUAUAUCUCAUCGGAUUUGUACGUUGUCCUCUGUGAAAAUGGACUUUCGUCUGAAACUGAAUGUAUGUCGAGGAUUAAAAGACUAUAUAAGAGUGAUAGUAUUACAUACUUGGCUGUGUGAAGUCCAAUACCACUAGUAGAGCCAGUGACGAUGACAUUGAGACCAGAUAAAUCUUUGGAUUGAAGAAGAGCAGAUGCUGGUGGGAGAUGGUAAGUCAACAGCUUCUGAAAUACACUCUCCUUCCAUACUUCCCAUGAGCUCAUUAGUAUCAAAGUAUCAUUGUUCACCCAUGCCUUGAAAGCCAUCUCUCUUCUCUGAUUCCUUCUCUCUCACACACACAUAGUAAGUAGUAACCCUCUUUUAUACAAACAACAAGAUGUAAUGACAAUUGUCUGAAAAAUAUAUACCACAAACAAACACUUGCAUAGUUCCAUUAAAGAGAUACUCUUUCUAGACAAAUGUGGGAUAUACUAAACUGCCGAUAUUAGUAACAAAAAAACAAAAAACUUCUUGUUACCUAAGUAAUUCAUAUAGCCCUUUCUCCAAGCGUUGGAUGAACCCAAGUACACCCAAGCAAACAUUCCAAUGCAGCCUAGACUCUAAAUUGAACCUAUGGUUUGUGUUUAAACAUGACUAGCUAGAUUCCUAUUAACAAUUUCAUUAUUUGCAUUGAUAAUAAAACAAUUUUUAUGCAUGAUAUGAUGAUAAACAUGUGUUGUUGAAGUACUCAAAACGAUACAUUCGUAGGGUUUAAGAUGUAUUAAAACGGCUUGAUUCUUGUUAGGAGAACCUUCCAACAACCAUCAGCCAGAGACUCAUUGGCAGGAAAACUGUCCCCAAGUAACUCAACUACCACCUUUCUCUAUUUAAAUAUCACAAUUAGUAAAUUAACAUUGUGAAAGAAAAUUGAUGGAUUUGGACAUUAUAACUGUAAUCAUAUAAAAUUUAGCCGCCCUAUUAGAUAUACUUAAUUUAUGUCAUAUCAUCAACUCAACUACUCAAGUCUAAGAACAAGAAACUACUCAAGCCAAGUGCCAUAUGGCUCUAUGAGUUCCAACACACACAGAAGAUAUGUAAGGAUAUACAGGGUGAUGCAGGGUGCCACCCUUUGAAAAGUUGCUUCUUGGCAUUUUUCUAGAAUUCAAUAAAACACACACAACAACAAGAAGAAAAAAAAGGAAAAAAAAACUGUAUAGCGUUUGUAAGCAAUGGUGAUCUGUCUGAAUACAACAUGGGAAAAACAAUAACAAAAAUUGCUUCUUCAUUGGAGCUGUUACAGAUCUGUGCGACCGAUUUCAAGAAUUUGAACAAAUACCUUUUCUUUACAACAAAGGAUGACAUCUUUUACACCAAAAUAUAUACAGCAUUGCAUACAACAAUCGAAAAAUAUCAGCACUAGCUCAGAUUCUCGGAAUCAUGUAUUCUGUAUAGAACGGCAAGGGAAAGACGUGUACCGGCAUUUUCCCAGGGAGCAAGGUUGUUGUUUGAGGAAAUUGAAACACAUUCGACUUCCACGGUGUAGCACAUUGUCUAGUUAAAGACCUUUGUCAGCUUUUCCCUUGUUUCAUCGUUCAAAUCCGGCUCCUGCCAAUGCUUCUGCCAUUGAAGAAGAUGCCUCUUCAAGCGUCCGCUGUUUCUGUACUGUAGUGUAGGCCUCAAGUAUAUCACCAACUUCCCAAUCAACAAAAUUAUCCAUCCCCAUACCACAUUCCAUUCCAGCAUUAACCUGAUUGGAAUAAAGGACUUGUUAAAUGAGAAAUUUUUUGACUAAACAGAAAGCUCAUUCAAAAGUUGCAUUACAUGGUGCACAUUGUUUAACUUUAUAUGUCUGUAUACUGAGAUAUGAUUUAUUAUAGUGCAGUUGCAGAAUUAGCUUUCUUUUCAUUGAAGUUGUUUGGAAAAUUUAAGGUAUCUCACUACUAUCUCAUAAGAUCCUACAAAAGUCCUUAGCAUUUUAUGGUCAAACUUCUCAAUUAAUAUUGUUAUUACACUACAGUAUGAACGCCUUAGUAAGCUUGGAUCUAUCACAAAUUUACCAAAUGAUAACAUAAAAAUUGGUACCAGUCAGUCUGGUGGAAACUUUCAUCCAGACAUAACGAUUAAAAUGACGACAUACCUCUUUCACCAUCUCCUUCACCCGUCUCAGUGAGUCAAGAACACCACUAUAGAAUGUUUUGUCUUUUCGAACAACUCUAAUUCUACAGCCUUUCACAACUUUUCCUUCGGUAACCAUGCAUCCAGCAACACGACCACUACCACUGCUGAAUACCGCCCGGACUUCUGCUGAUCCAAUUGGUAUUUGUUCCUAACAAGUGUAUAAAUAAUAAAUUUCAGCUAUUAAUAUUCGUGUAACAUAAUGCAUCUAGGUAGCACACAACUGAUUAAUUAGGAGCCAACUUUGGGAUAAAGGCAACUUAAUAAAAAAUGAGCUGAGAUUAGUAAAGCUUAAUAAAAAAAAAAAAAUUGAGUGUAUUUGAAGUUUGUGGAGCAAUGAUAAAUUGAUGCCACUACCAACCAUAUGAUUGAAUUUGCUCUCCGCACCAUUAGCAUAAAGCAAAAAUUAUAACAUGACAUGACCAUGACUGAAAACCCUCACUGCCCUAUCGUUAAUCUAAUGAAGAGAAAAAAAUAUUUCCCUCACUUAUUUGCUUUAAAUCACCAGCCCAUAUAGACUUCAAACUGGGAACUACAAUUAUCAGAUGUUUUGUAUCUAGACCAGAUAGGAACAAAACAAGCAUAAAGCCUGCUAUGGAUGGUUAAAUGCCGUAGGAUAUUUGGACUGCCGCAAUAAAUUAUAAAUGGUGUGAGGCUGUGAGUGAGCUCACACCAUUCAAACAGUGUGUACCGUAUAAUUACACUGACGGAAGAGGGGAAAAUCAAAUAAAGCUAUAACAUCUAAGAAAUAAUAUACCUCUACAGGGUCUAGAAGUCCUUCCAUUGCAUUCCGAACAUCAUCAAUCAACUCAUAUAUUACUCUGUAAAGACGUAUUUCUAUACCCUGUUGAUCUGCGUAUGUUUUAACUGCACCUGGUGCUUUGACAUUGAAGCCCACUAUAAUAGCCUUACUAGCAACAGCAAGGUCAACAUCACUCAUGCUUACAUCCCCAGUAGCUUGGAGCAAGAACUUUAGUGUCACAUUAUCUUGUGGGAGCACAUGAAGGGCUUGUCUUAUGGCCUCAAUAGAUCCCUAAUAUCAAUAAAGAGCAUUUGAGUGAGUUGCAAAUGAAACAAUAACUCCAGCAAAGAUCUAAGAAAUACAGUACUAUAUAAAAGACUUAUCUAUGCAAAAUUAACAGUCAGGAACGGUGCCACACUGUAAGUUUUCCACCCAAAAUUUCAAAUAAAAUCUAUACAUUUGCUAUGGAUCUGUGGAAUUCAAACAAAAAAGAUUCUAUCCAUGUUACACGGACACACCGUAUUUUAAAAAAAGAAAAACUAUGAGCUGGAAACACGGGCACACGCAGACACAGGUACGGACAGACUAUCAAAUUGAUGUAUAUCAGGUUAGGAAAUCUUCAAUUCCCUAUAAGAUGAAGAAGAAAAGGAACGGAUAAAGAAAUUAAAACAAAGUAGAAGAGAGCUUAAAAAGAAUUUGUCCUUCCAUCUAUUUACAUCUAUACGAAAAGAGGAAAAAAAGGUGAGAUCAGAUAUAUUGUUCUUCUUGUCUAUAUUGUGUUACAGAUAAAUCAUAAUCUGGUACCCGUGCCCAAGGGCCAAGUCUUUUAAGAUGUUGUGGGGCACCAACAAAUGCACGCAUAUCAAUGUCCCUUAGGUUCAUCUUCUCAUGAAAAAAACAACAUAUCAUAACCCAUCCUCCGGUUCAUCGAUAGUCUUUUACUUUGCCACCAAGGGUAUUUAAAUUAUGACAAACGUAUUUUGAACCUCGUCCUUACCUGUAAAUCAACCUUCAUAACAAUAUUCAGCUGGUGCAGAUCUAUUCCAGCCUGUUUUCCUGCUGAAACUGCCGAUGCUAAAGAUGAAAGUGUUAUUUUCCCAUCCCCGGCCUUUUCAGAUAUUCUUUCAUCUCGUAAUGACUCUGCACGCAACUCUGCCUUCUCACGUGCAAUAUCAAGGGAGUCAACAACCUCGAAUUCAUCGCCAGCAACAGGGACAUUAUUUAACCCAAUGACCUGCAGUAUUUGAAAAAAAUGCAGAAUAUAUCAACUGAAGCGUGCAUUGAGAAUAAAAUGAGUCAUGAAACAAUGAGAAGGUGAUGCUGGAAGAGGGCAGGAAUACAAAUAAAAACCUGCACAGCAGAAGAAGGACCAGCUUCGUUCACACGAUUUCCAGUGUCAUCAAAUAAGGCUCGCACCUGAACAUUCCAACAAAUCAGACUAGUCCAUCAAACGUGGAUAGCAGACUAAACCACACAUUCGAUAACACCAUUGCAAAUGUAUUCAUAAUUAAAGUUUAGUGAUGAAAAUAAGACAACUUAACAACCUUCCCAAAGGCUCCACCACAGACAACGACAUCCCCUCUUUUGAGGGUGCCUUUCUGCACAAUGAAUGUCGAUAUAGGUCCUUUCGAUUUAUCAAGCCCUGCCUCAAUGACUGUGCCCUUUGCAUUUCUGUGAGGGUUGGCCUUCAACUCUUGCAGCUUCAAAAUAAAUGCAUACUCAAAUAGUUAGAUGCAGUCGGUUUAGGUUUUAGGAAACACCUUAGAGACAGAUAAUGAGAACACUUAAUGUACCUCUGCAACAAGCAUGACUGUUUCCAAUAGGUCACCUACAUUAUCCCCUUUGAGAGCACUGAUCUGAUGGGGAAAAAAAUCAUGUGCUACUCGCGUGAAAAAAUUUAAAGCACUAUGCAACCAUGGGUUAAAAACUUCAGUAAUAAUUUUAAAAUACCUGAACCAUUGGGACAUCACCUCCCCAUUCUUCGGGCAUCAGCCCAAUUGAAGAAAGUUCUUGCAUUACUCGUUCUGGGCUACCUCCCUCUUUAUCUAUCUGAAAGAAAGGAGGCAAAAAAUGAGGAUAUAGCAUGUCUAGUCAUUGUUGAAUAUUAUGCCAAGAUGUUGUACCUUAUUUAUAGCUAUCACGAUAGGCACCCCUGCUGCUUUAGCAUGAGCUAUGGCCUCAUUUGUUUGAGGUCGGAUACCAUCAUCAGCAGCCACCACAAUGAUGGCAAUGUCAGUCACCCUUGCUCCGCGUGCUCUCAUUGCACCAAAUGCCUAAAAUGGGAAUAUAUAUAUAUUUGAUCAUAGCAAUUCUCAGUAAAUUCAAAGGAAAUAUAAAGCAGGCUAAAGUUCGAAAUCAAGUUGCAUUACUACCAUGAUAUUGCAAAAGGGAGAUUUCAGUACUGUAAGUUUCAGAUCUAACCUUCAUAAUUCAAAACGAGCUAUAGAGAUAGGGAGGCAGGAGGAAACACAAAACCUGAUCAUAACAUACAAAAGGUACUUUGGUACUUGGAGAUUACCUCAUGGCCAGGUGUAUCAAGGAAGACACAUGGUUGAAGCUUGCCAUCAACAGGAACAAGUACUUUAUAUGCCCCAAUUCCUUGUGUUAUUCCACCUGCUUCAGAUGCAGUUACCUGUAACCGAAUAAUCAGCUUUACUCCAAGAGCAUACUUAGAAUUUAUGUUUUCAUUCUAUGAGAUGACUACUGGGCAGGGUUUUUAUACUAUCAAUAGAAAACAAUCUAGUAAAGGCAAUAGGAUUCUGAUUUACUGAUCUGGUGCUUCAACACCUACUCAAGCCUCAAACCAAUGAAACCAUAGAUCAUUCUCUAUCACACAACCAAAACUGAUGGAAUAUCAAUAUAUAUCUGUAUUUAUGAAGAGGAGCCAUUGGUUCAGAAGAUUAUUCACCAAGAUUGCAUAUACUUUAGUACAUUUCAGCUACUAGACGUGAUGCUAAUACUGAAAAUUGACAGAUUUGCACAAGUAACACGCCAUGAGAGGGAUGUUACCUUGCUUUUGCGAAUAUAAUCCAGUAGGGUUGUCUGCCAAGUGCAAAACAUUAAGUAUUAGCAACAUGAUGUGAUUUACAUUAGUUUAUGUAUUUUUCCAAACUCAGACAGGAAAGCACUUAAAGUUGGCAACAAAUACAAGGAAAAAGACAUAGAUUUGGUACUUACUUUUCCAUGAUCCACAUGACCCAUUAUGGUAAGAACUGGGGGUCUGGGUUCUAAUUUAUCUAGGUCUUCCUCAUCAAAAAUUUCCUUUUUCUUUGCCAUCUCUUCUACUCCAACAGAAUCAGCAUCUAUUACUUCAACCUCAUAUUCUUUGCAGACCAUCUUGACGAUGUCUCUGUCCAGAGUCUGCACUCCAUCAGGCUUGAUCCCCUUCGAGUAAAGGUACCCAAGAAUUUCACCUUCACUAAUGGCUAAGUUGUAUGCCAAGUCCUCUGUUAACAUCCCUUCUUCAUCCACUUCCAGUAUUUCCACUUUAACAGGAGCUGCAUCCCUCGCUGCUUGGAGCCUUGCAGCCUUCCGACUGGCUUUACUCCAUUUUCUCCCUUUCCUCGCUUUAGGAAAGGAGGAAUCAUCGCCAGACUCAGAUGCGUUACUUAAACGCCUCCGCAAACCCCCAGGAGCACCACCUUUCUUUCGGUUCUCAUCUCUAAACUUUGAAAAAACAGGAGUCUUUACUGGCUUCUGAAGGGGUAUAACUGCCUGAGCAAUAACCGGAUCAACAACUGGUUUUUUGGACGCAAACUUGUCAAUAAGAAUUGGCCCCCGCUGCUUGGACUUUACACCUGAGUCAGCAUCGACAGUAACUGGUGGUCGUGGAGCUGCUCCUACAUCCUUCAAGAUAACAGACUUCUUUAUUACAGGUGAAGGAGGAGCUACCGCAGGUCGUGGAGCUGCUCCUACAUCCUUCAAGAUAACAGGCUUCUUUAUUACAGGUGGAGGAGGAGCUACCGCAGGUCGUGCUAGCAAUGUUGGUUGAACUGCUGGAGGAGGUUGGGGCGGUCUUAAAGGAGCAUGAGCAUCUACUUUCUCGACUUGUGCUUUGUCAAUGUCCUCUUUCACAGUCUUAAGAGCCUUAGGAGGUUCCUUAACAACCAUUUGCACAGUUGCAACUGGAUUACCUUUUCUCCAAACACUCUUCAGAGUUUUAGACUUCUGACCUGCGCCAGAAUUCACAGUUCUAAUCACUUUUGCAUUAGGACGUGUACUUGCUCCUGGUCCAUCAACAACUUUACCACUAUCUUUAGUAUCCGGAGAUGUUCUAGGUGCAGCAGUUUCUAAUUUCUCUGCCUUCUCCAAUACUUCUCCCAAUGAUUCAAUCACCUUUUUUCUUUCCUCAACGUCUUCCGUUUUCCCAACAACUGUUUCCCCAUCAAUUUUUGUCGGUGUCCACGCUACAGAAUUCGUUGAAUUUGUAUUUACAAUAGGUAUAAUCUUAGGCUGAGGUUUCAAAACAGGUUUGGGAGCCGGUUUAAGAACAAGAUCAUCGUCUUUACCACCUCUAAAUGUAGUAGAAUCUACGGAUACUGGAUUCCCCUUUUCAGUAAUCAAAUCAGUAGUAAUCAUACAUUUACAAACAGAUGAACAACUCCAUUUAUGUUUACCCAAAACAUAACCAAAACUACAUCCUCUAAUUACCGAAAUCCUCGGCAAUAACUUACAAUUACUAUCAAAAUAAACAGUUGAAUUCACUCUUACACUUCCCAAACUUGCUAGGGAAGCCAUAGAAGCCAUUAUUCUUAUAUCAAAUUUAGCGUCAGCAUUAACUUAUAAUCUCUUUAUCAAUCCCCAAUACAAUAUUAUCUAAAAAAAAAAACCAAAAAUGCGAAACAAACCCAAAAUCCAAUAUUCAAAAUUGAAGAACCCCACCAAUCCAAUUAAUCAAAAUGUUGUUUUUCUUCUUUAGGGGGUUGCUAAAAGCCUAAAACCCUAGUUUUUUUUUUCAAGUUUUAUAAGAUAAGUUAGAACAAGUAAGGAUAAAGUUGUUACUUACCUUGGUGUUCUUUGAGUUGGAGGGGAGAGAGAGGGAGUGAUGAAAGAAAAGGAAAAGAAGAAGGUUAUGGGUGGUGGGAAAAUGCUUAUUUGUAAGUGAAGUUGUAACAUUGCGUGUGUGGCUAUUUCUCCUCUUUUCAAUUCAUGCGAUAAGGUUUUUGAUAGUUUUACUUGUAAUUCUUCUCAUCUUGUCACAUUUAAUUUCACCCCACUAUCUAUAUUUCUAGCUAUUGAGGUUGUUUCCCUCCAUGUCAGAGUGUGGCUGUGUGGUGCCCAAUUGAAUUGAGAAAAGUAUGGCGAUUUGGUUCACAAACACUCAAAUAAAAUAGAAAUAUAGAAUAAUAACAUGCCACAGCCCUGAGCCCACAAGUCUUGCUUGGUCUAGUUAUUUUUGAUAGAAUUGCUUGGUCUAGUUGGUCUUGGUUGGUAAUCUAAUGCAACAGAGAGAGAAAUGGGAAAUGGUAUGGGGCAUGUGUAUUUUGGAGCCGAAUGAGUCGAGGUUUAGUAUGUUCAAGCUAGACUUGUUUUUACUAGCUGAGUUUAAACCAAGUUUAAAAUAAAUUUUCAGUUUUUAGUGUGUAUCGAAACUCAGUUUGGUUUAGUUCGUUUCGAAAAUGAACCAGCUGGUGGUAUUCCGUAUUCAAAUCGAGCUUUAGUUUGUUCAAACUCGACUUGUUUGUGCUUUCAAGUUCCACUCAAUUUUGAAAACGAACAAGCUCUAGGUGAGAUGAAAACAAGCGAACCCCCAACCAGAGCUAGUUUACAACCUCUAAAUCCCUAAUCAGAGGGUGGUGCCCUAGGAUAAACUCUCAGCAUGUUAAAGUCAUUUACUCAUUCAUCUAGUUAUCUAUGUCGACUGACGUAGGAGGUCCAUUAAGAGUCGGGUGACACUUAAACUCGUGUCUGUCCCCGACUCUUUUCGAUUUUUUUUUGUCUGUCCGACUAUUUUUCUUUUUUUGAAAUUUUGUUUUGUCUUUUUUCUUUUUUUCUCUAUUCUCUUCCUCUAUCUUUUCUUCUCUUCUCCCUUCAACUCACUGCUAAAUGAUAUUGUAAGAUGAAGAGCAAGAAGAAGAAGGUAUGACUUCUAACGUCUGUCUCCACCGUAUCACGGUUCUAUAUUAGUAGCAGUGUAGCACUGCCACUACUAACGGAACCUGGACCUGGACCUUGAUCUGGACCCAAUUCAGGUGUUGUAGUUUUCUGGAUUGGAUUUUGGACCCAAACCCGUUAAAUUUGAUCAUCUAUUACUUGGCCCACUUUAAUUUUUUUUUUUUGCAAUUGAGGGUUUUAUUGGCCCACUUGGCCUACAUGACAAAGUGAGCCUAAAUACAGAAGAUGGGUCAUAAUAUAUUAAUGGGCUGGACCCUAUUAACAAACAAAUGAGGUCCAUAUAGUUCAUCUACUACACCUGCACAAACCUAAAAAGAGUAGCACUACUGCUACGAAUUAUAAGUCCAAAACAACAGUAAUAACAUAUUGUUCCAAAUUUAAUAAACCCUAUAGAAUCAAACAUCUUUUCCUGUAAAGAUAUGAAAAAAGUUCCAAAUCUGCUGUCUGAGCUAAUGAGAGAAAAACAUCCAACUUAGCUUCAUCUUCAUCUAUUCUGCAACAAGAUGGAGGUUUAAAUUAGGGUUUAUACAUGGUUAAAUUAACUUUAUGCAGCUUCAUCUUCAUCUAUUCUGUAACAUAAAAUUAUGAUGGAUAGAUUACCAAAGCUGCAAGUCUGGGUACUGGAGACCGCGUUCUUGUAAGUUAGGCUGAGUAGGUUGGAGACGAAAUGUAUGAAGCUGAGGAGAGAGGGGAGAGAGCUGAAGUAGGUUCCUUGCUUGCUCAUCUGUUGCGUAAAGUCCAAAGUGUUCUAGCAUAGGGUGCUCUACCUUGUGUUCCAUCAUUGCUUGGUGGUGCUCUGCUGCUGCUUGCUGCUCCAAAAUCUAAUCAAUCAACACAGCGUAAUCUAGUGGUUAGUAACAACAUCAAUCCUUUUUAUAAGUUAGAAAUACAUUUUAGCUAUGAUCUGGGUAUAAAGAAUAUAUGUUGCAUUAUAGCACAUCAUAAGACCUUAUAAUAUAGUAACAAAAUUUUGACAUAUAUAAUCUCAAUCUACAAGAAGUUGAUCACUUACGCUAUGAUACAAGUGGCUGUUCUGCUCCUCUAAGAUUUGCUCCUGAAGAAUGAAAAUUUAUUAACCGACAACGAAUCUUAAUUAAUAUUGGAGUGAUGGAGUGCAACCAGUAAAUUCAUCACAUUAACAAACAUAGAGAGAGAGAGAGAGAGGAAGAGGGAGACUCAUUCACCUUCCUGCGCAGGUUGUCCAGCUGUUGCUGCAAAAGUUGAUUCUGGAAGAUCACAAUCUCAAACAUAACAAAUCGAGCAGGAAAACAAGUGUGUGAUAAAAUCAAUGAUUAAACAUAAACUGUAUACCAAAAUAUUAAAUAUAUAUGGUUGCUUACCUUCCUAGCUCGAACUUUGUCAACAGAUACUUCUAGUUGCUGUUCUAGCUCAUUUAGAUCAUUGUAAUCUAAGGCAGUCAAAUUCUCUCCAGUGUAUUGGCGGAUGCUUGCCUGAAGCCUAUCAGUCUGAUCUCUCAACCUUAACAUUUCAUGACGCACUUCCUGUGCACACUAAACAAAUAUCAAAUUUUAACACAAUGUCCAAUAAUCAUAAAAUGCUUUAAGCUUAUCAAUUGAUCAUAUCUUAUUCCUUCUACAUAAAUUAGUUAUUGAUUGUGCCUGCAUCAUUUGUUUAUAUUGAGAAUUGGUGAACUUACAGCAUAUGUAGAUAUAAUUUCUUGAGCCAUUAAUUAUUCCUAAUUAAUAAUUUCUAAUUAACUUCAUGUAUCUAAGGAUCAUCCAAUGAGCUUAUAUAUUUGGUGGUUUUGCAGUACUCGGUUAAGUAAUUAAACACCUUGCUAACUAUUUAAUUAGUCAGGGUAAGAAUUAUUGUCGUAAAAUCUGGGUUAAAUAAUCAUACCUGGUUAUCGUAUUCCUUAAUGGAUUUUCCUGUCGCUUUCUGGUAGCGGGCAAGAAUCUCUUGCAUACUGUACAUAAAUUAAUUAAAAGAGAAAAAAAUGAUUAGUUUCUUCAAGAUUAGCUUGAAAUUUAGCUAAAACAAUUCUAAUGUUAUCGACAAUUUACAUUUUUAAAAUCUCAAAGAUAUUCCUUUUGUGUGUGGAGGAUGAAAUUGAAAGAGGCAGCAAAUUUUAGAUCUACGUUACAUUAAUUUAAGUCAGAUUUGAAGAUUGGAGACUUACUUCUAUGAACAAUAGCUAUAUGAAACGUAAUAACUAAAGCUCUGAAGUCAUGUGUAUGUAUCAUUACAAGCUAUGUCAUGGUCAAACUAUGCCCAAAUAGAACUCCAAAACAGUCUUAGACAAAAGAAAUCAGUGAAGGCAUGCAUCCCUACAUUAGACAAGGCUAGGUUGAAAUGAUAAUUUCAUGCAGAGUUGCAGAUACAUCAGUAUAUUUUGCAGAUCAUAAAUAAAACAAAAUAUUUAUAUAAUAAAUAAAUUUAACAUCAACUAUAGCAUAUGAAUUUCAAUAAAGGCCAAUGUACAAAAUCUCAAUCUAAAAUUAUCGGAAUUGUACAAAAGAAAUUUUGUUUGCAAGGUACCCUACUUUUUUUGUUUUUUUUAUUGGUAAAUUAAUGUACCCUAGUUGUUUGGUUAUACGUAUAUGAUGUUUUAUCAUGAAAUUGAACUACCCGAAAGUUCCCAUUGUUAACAAAUGCAUAAAAUUGGAUACCUAGAAUUGAAACUUCUUUUAAACAAGAGAAACCCUAAUUGCAGAAAAAUGAGAGAGAGAGAGAGAGAGAGAGAGAGAGAGAGAGAGAGAGAGAGAGAGAGAGAGAGAGAGAGAGAGAGAGAUGAACUAGGCUACUGUUGAUCUUCAGAGAACAAAAUAUCUUGAAAUUUACAUCAGAUUCCAUGUCACAAAAGAUCUGUAAACCUUAUGUUAGAUCCCACACAGACUAAGAUGAAAUAAAACUGAUAUUUUUUGUAUAAUGCACCCUAAUAAUCCUAUAAACAAGAAGAGGUAUAGCUACUUGCAUACAACACCAACUACCUAAAAAUCACAUAAAUUCAAGAAGAUCAGUGGGGGAAAAAGGAAUUAAUGUAAAGAAAGAAUGAAGAUUGAUUUGUAUUAUCAACCUAUUGUCUUCACUGGUGAACUCAAACAACUUGCCAGAAGAUGAGAAGAUGAUAAGACCAAGCUGAGCAUCGCAAAGCACGGAAAGUUCUCUAGCCUUCUUGAUUAAACCUCCACGGCGUUUUGAAAAAGUGACUUGCCUGUUUGUAGUGUUUUCAAUCUUCUUGAUCUCAAUCUUCCCACGUCCCAUAAUUACCAUACAGUGUUGACUACGCUUUCUUCUUCUUAGGGAAAGAGAUAACACAAGAAGGAAUUUUUUCUGGUUUAAGUCAAGAAAAAGAACUUUCAAUCAAAUAUACAAGUAGUAAUAAGCAUAAUAUAGCACAAAUUAACAUGGAGAAUUAAUUUGGUGCAAAAGCAAAGCUUAAUUUGUAAUAAAUCUUUAAAAUAUGGGAAUUAAAAGAGACAAAGAACUGUUAUCCAAAGUAGAAAUUUGAGUUUAUUUUUAUAAAAAACCAAAAUGAUUUUUAGACAAAAUAAGCUAAAGUACAUGGAAGAAGAUGAGAGCAAAGAGAGGAAGAAGAAGCUUGUUUACCUGUUGUUGCUUCUUUGCUUUUUUUUUUUUCUUGAGUGGAUGGUAGACUGGUAGAGUUUAAUGAGGAAUGUGAUGUGUGAAGUGUGAUAUAGGAUGUUAUUUAAAAGUAAGCUAGCAUAUCACAUUUCCAAAACUGCCCCUUUCCUUUUCGACAAACUACUCUCAUUGAGUUUAGUGGUAAAAUCAAAAUGGAAAAGAAGUUAAGAAUUCAACUUAGCAUGACAUAAUGGGGAUUAGAAGUGGUACGGAAAAUACACGAAAAUUAAAGAGUUCAUGCAUGCAAUUACUAGUAAUACAUUCUAGACGUGUACCUAUAACGCGGACAUAUCAUACAUUCCAGGGUGUUGAUGUUAGUCCUGGGUGAGUGGGCAGAUUGAUAACUUAAUCAUGCAUGAUUAGCAAACUAAGCAAGCAAGUGUAGCAUACUCUCAAUAAUAUACUUGGAACUAUAUGUAGGGCAAUUUAGUAAAAACAACAAAGAUGAAAACUUAUGGGGAAAACAAUAGUGCAAGUGCUCUUCUAUUGAUUGUUUUUUCUGAACCCUAGACCAAAGGAGAAACAAACAGAACGUCUCUAUACUUCAUCACAUGAAAAUUUUGUUGUUUUAAGAAUUGGACUAGGAGGUGUUUGUAAGGACCACUUUCCCUUUUAAGGUAACAAAAGAUAAUGUCAGAGAUUCUACAACUGACUCUCUUUGACAUUCUUUUCUUCUUACCAACCUCAUUAAAACAAUGAACUUGCAACUUGCUUGGUUUUGGUUUGGAAAACUAUUUCAUUGUUAGUACAUGUUUAGCUUUAACAUUCCAGCUAAUUACAUACAUAUAGAGUGCAUUUAUAAACCCUUGAAGAUAUAUAAUUCAGAAAAUUGUAAUCAUAAGUGGGCUGAAGUGCCUUGGAAAACUUAGACUAGAUCAAAUUCUUAUUUUCACCUAGGCAACAUCGCGAAAAUAUUAACCAAAAUGGUAGGUUGAUAAUGUCCAACAGUGACUAACACAAAAUUUGAUUAAUUCUCAGUUCAUCUUGAAAGUAUGAGACCAGUUUAUCUUGGAAGGAUUUCAAAUUAAAGCAUGAAGCAUAAAAAAUGUGUAACAAACACAGUACACAAAGAAAUUCCAUAUAACUUGAAAUGGAAUGUUUACUAUGAACACAACUCUAGGUGUACAGUUUAAAAGCUUUUAUCAUUUCCAAUUUCUAUAAGCAUUUCAUCUCUGGACUGUCUGUAUUUUUUUAGAUAAUUUAUGUCACAAAAGUUACUGAAAUAUAUAGAAAGAGGCCGGUUCACAGUACGCAAAACACAAAAUGCCUAGCAAACUCCUUGGAAUAUCAUAGUUACCUACGUACAAUUUGAUAAUUGUAGUAAUCAGUAAUAACUAGCUAGAAUAAUAACUAAUACUGUAAGUAAUAAUAGUAGCCACAAUUUGAUAAUUGUACCAUUGUUGGAUUAAAUCAGCAAAAUUGCAAUAAACAUUAACUUGGAAAACUUUUCUACACUUUUAUCUCAUCAUGAGAUUUUAUACAUAGAAAAGAGAAAUUUUUGCUUAAAUAAUUGAUGAAAAGCAGUAGUAUUUUUGCAAAGAACACCUACCCUAUGCUAAUUAAACAUCAAAUUACAUUGAAAGCGACCUUCUUCGAUAUUUAUCCUAAAAUUGAGAAUGUCUUUUUUCUUCUUCUUCUUUUUUUUUUUUUUUUUUUUUUUUUUUUGCUGAAUUUAUAUCAGACAAUAAGAUACCCACUUCUAUAUGCAAAUUUAUGUCCCAGAAUUCCAGAAACACAUACUCCAUGUUCAAAGUAAUUUCCUUACAUAUAUAUACUCACAUAUGACAUCUGAUUAAUUUGUUUUUCAACUAACUCUUUCAAUUCUCAGAAGAACUAACAGAAAAUUUGAUUUUAACAAAAUAAUGAAAUAUUACCAAUAGUUAAUUUACUCCUACUGGCUUUAACUCGGCCAGUUCUUGAGCAUCCAACUAUCUCACCAAAAAAAAGUUCUUGAUCAUCAACUUGCAUCCAUUUGAAAUCGAUAAUGCAUGCAUGUGAUUGUCUGAUAUACAGCUUCUUAAGAGUAGGUAAAAUGCACAUGUUUGGUCCCUUCGAUCAUGUUUCUAUAUAUGUGGUUAACAAAGUCUAAUGACAAUCCUUAAUGCUUUUGCUUUAAAGUUGAUAUGAUGUGCAUGUUAUAUGCAUACCAAAGAUCAGAUGGUCUUGAUCUAAUUCCGAAACAUAAAUUUCCAUCACACAUACAUAAGAGAAAUUCUAUAUAUGGUCAGUUGGCAGUUUGGCACAAGCUUUUAUACUUCUACAAUAGGAUAUAGUGUACAAAAUCAUUGCUGAUUUUUGUUUCUUAGCUAAUAAGCUAUUGACCAAUGUAAUUCUUUCUCUUUGAUUUCCAAGUAAAAAAGUUUAAGAUGUUCUAUUCGUUGAUCAAGUAUAAAUGUCUAAUGGAUGUUAUUUACAUGGAUUUGAAUAUGAGUGACUUCUGACCAAUGUGUUCAUCACACUGACCAAUGUGUACAAACCCUACUUGCAAACAGUCAAUCUGAUCAAAGAUAGUAUAAUUCAUCCAGCUAAUUAAAACAUUCCUUCUAAGCUUUAUGACCUGAAAUCAGUUCUUGAACCAACUAUGCCCAUCACCCAUGAAACAUGGGAGUUUGAUAAAUUAUACCUUACUCUUAAUUUUUCCAAUAAUGUAAAAUUAGUAAAUGAAGACUUUGGUGUAUAUAAGAUUUUUAGUAAAUGAUGUAGUGUGAUGUCGAAAGUCAGUAAUUGGCUGUCAUGAUCAUCACCAGGCAACCCUAUAGGGAAAAUAGAAGGUGGUUUCAUGUCCACUUCUUAAACAACAACAUUUCCCCCCCCCCCCCCCCCCGCUUUUGAGGGGCAUUCGAUUUCAUGGCCUUCGCAGAAGUUUUAAAUGCAUUUUGUUUUUUACCACCAAUGUAGAACGAACUGCACAGUCAAUAAAAGUGACAAUAUCACACAUAUUGUGUUAACUUAUAAGUGAAGUGACAAUAUCUGUUCUUUUUUCCUUUGUUUUGCCAUCAUUUUUUUAAAAAAAAACCAGUUAAAAAAAUAGUGCCAUUUUUAUCUUCCUUUACAAGCAUGCUUUAGUCGCCUACAAGGCUACAGCACAACAUAGGAGCAAUGAAAUAUUUUUUCUUCUAUUACAUAUCAUCAAUGUACUAGCUAAAUAUCAGCUAAUACCCUAUUUGCUUAUAGACUAUCUCCAGCAAGCUUUGGUGAUACUUAAACUUUCCCACAAGAUUCUGACAAUACCAACGUGGUACCAAUCUACCAUCAUGAUCGAAUUCAUCAUUCGUCUAAUUAUUUAAAUUACUUGAUUUCUUAAUUGAUGCAUAUCUUGAAUAUUCCAUUCUUUAAACUUUACCUGGUUGAAUAAUGGAGUGGAUAAGCUUAAUUAUGGGAUAAGCUUUACCAUAUGGAGCAAUUGUGCAAACUGCAUGUUUCAGGGAUAUUUUUUUUUUCUUCUAUAUUUAGAGGAAAAUGUUUGAAGUUUAAUUUUUUUUUUUUUUUUAUAUUUUCUAUAUGAUCUAAUCUCUUAUCUCUACAAACCUAUAUGUGGACAAUCUCAGAGUAAUUACUCAAACUAGCCAUUUUAAGUUACUAGACAGAAGACACUGGGGUGACUUCAUGAUUAUCUUAACACAUCCAAGAGAAGAAAGAGAACAAGGACAAGAAUUUACCCAAAAUGGGCACCUGAUCAGGUGGUCCUUAGUGCUCCACGUUCAUGUGACCAUGUCUUACUUCACUUCUUUGGGGUCCAUGGUGGUCAGGUCUCAUGCUCAUUGCAGGCUUCUGAUUUGUAAUCUGUUUCACCAUUAAAUGCAAACCAGUAGCAAAUCAUGUGAACUGAUCCAUACCCUGAUCACCUGAUGGCAAGUUUGUAGGCCAAAGUAACUAUAGACAUCAUUUGAACUUUGAAGUAUGAUAGUCUAAGCCCAAAACAUUGUUUAUUAUGCUCAUUGGGCUUAAAUGAAGUCCACCCAAGUAACAAAAUCAUACCCUCAGAUAUCUAGAACACAGAAACAAUAAAGUGCACAAAAUCUAUGAAAUCCACUUGUAACCAAUCAAUACAGAGAUGAAUAUCUACUUGGAUUUUGGAAGCAUUGCAAACAGAUAAAUAAGAUAUGGCACACCCACAUGUUUGUUGUAUAUCUUCCCAAACUUCCUCUGUCACUUCUCAAAGACCACAAUGCCAGCAGCAACAAUUUACUCUCUAUGUUUUACUCACAAGAGUCACAACACCUCAUUACCAAUCCAAAGAACACAACCAAACCAUAACCUCUCAACCCCAAAUCCCAAAACACUUCUCCAAAAAGUCCCAACUCCAUCAGACCAAUUCAAAGAAAAAAUCCUAUGUCUUGAGAUCAUGGGAGUAGACUCAGGUAAAGCACUUUCACUUAAUCCAUCUUUACAAACAGUUUCACUUGAUUCUAUUCACUCUAUAAUCUCUUUUCUUCAAUCUAAAGGAAUUCAUCAAAAAGAUAUGGGCAGAAUCUUUGGAAUGUGUCCUACAAUUCUUACUUCUAGUAUUAAACAAGACCUUAUACCAGUUUUUCAAUUUCUUUCUCAUGACCUUUCUGUCCCUUCUUAUAAUGUUAGAAAAGUUAUUAAGAAAUGUCCUAGGUUACUUGCUUGUAGUGUUAGAGACCAACUUAAACCAGCUCUUUUUUAUCUUAAAAGACUUGGAUUUCAUGAUAUGGAUGCUUUAGCUAAUCAAGAUCCAAUAUUAUUGGUUUCUAGUGUAGAAAAUACUUUAAUCCCAAAGCUAGAUUACUUAAUGAGCUUGGGGUAUUCAAGAGAAGAUGUUGUUGGAAUGGUAUUAAGGUCUCCAGGGUUAUUUACAUAUAGUAUUGAGAAUAAUUUUAAGCCUAAGUUUGGAUACUUUGUGGAGGAAAUGAAGGGGGAAUUGGAAGAAUUGAAGGACUUCCCUCAGUACUUUUCUUUUAGUUUGGAAAAUAGAAUAAAGCCUAGGCACAUUGAGGUUGUGCAGAGUGGUGUGAAGGUCUGUUUGUCAUCGAUGUUGAAGAGCACUGAUGAGGAGUUUAAGGAAUUGUUAAACAAGCCUUAAAGAAAGGAUCGGGAAAUUGUUUCACAAAUAUGAUGGUGAUCUUGGUUCAAAGGUGCAUCAUUCUUUUCAUGCAUGUACAAUGUGUGAAUUUGUCGAUUGAUUAUUAAAGCAAUGUGCAUUGAGAUGCUAAUUGCUAAGACUGAUGUGUGUCAUAAAAGCUUGUGGACCAAAAUAGCUAAUUUCUCCAUAAAAGCUCUGGCUCUGCAGCUAAUGGUAAAUAUUUUCAUUUCCUUUAUCAUCUGUUGUUUCUCCUCUACAUUCCUUGCCAAAAACAAUUUGUUGAUGUUCCCUGUACAUUUUCUAAAGAUUUGAAUGAUCUAAUUCAUGCAUAACCAUUUCUUAUCAGAUUUUCACAAAACUACUGAUAUGUUUAAAGCUCCUAUCACAGUCACACCUUCUUCAAUUGUAAUUUGUUUGGGUAGAGGUGUCCAUGAUCUUAUGACUUUGUAAAAAAAAAAUCAGAAAAGAUACAUGGGCACAAUGAACAUAUGUAGUAGCAUACUAGCAUGUACCAUAAAAUAAAACACAAAAAUUAGCAUGUAUUUAACAAACCAACAAUGUGUGUAUGUUACCUAUAACUGGUAACUCAUUUGUUCUGAAUGAUUAGUCAUGUAAGUUUUGUAAGUAAACUUGCAUUCUUUGUGCAGCAUUUUGCCUAUAAAACUUUAAAUAGUUACAGAUUUUUACCAAAUAGAGAGGAUUGAAAAUAAAGUUGUUGUACUGAUUUGUGUAAUAGCUACUAAAACCUAUAAAAUGAUUUGAGUCGUUGGAGAAAACUGAUAUUGAGAUGGGAUGGAUUUAAGCUAAGAAAAUGAAGAGAUAAGCGGGGGGGAUUCUGGAAACUGUUCAGUUGCUGAGCUGCAGGAGGAAGUAGUCCACGGAAAAAUUGUGCCGGUUGUGAUGCGUGAGUUGCCAAAGAGAAUAACAAAGUUCAUAAUGGAGGAUUAGUUUCCAAAUGAUUGUGAACUGAAUAUGAGAAUGGGUUGUGUUUGGACUUCGUAUCAAUUCACUGGGGGACUUAAGAUGAUAAGUUGACAGUAGUUAGAGCAAUACUAUAUAGACCAUAUUAUCAAGGUCACCAUUACAUGUAAUCUAAUAAAAGUAAUGUAUCUUUUUCGGUACAUGUUCUUAGGAAUAAUGCACAUUUAACUUGAAUAUUCUUGGAUUGCUGGAAAAAUUAAGCUUCAAUGAGCAUAUAAUAUGAAGCUAAUAACAUACAGCAGUAUAAUCGAAUCAGAAUAUAGCAUAUAGAUGCCCAUCUAUAAAAACUAUACACCCUUGAAAUCUUAAAUCAUUGAUUCGAAAUUCUCGAUAAUAUGCAAUUUGAGCACACGACUCAAAUAUAAUAUUUAGCGGCAUUCCCUAGUCAAUAUUUUUCGGUUAGAAGGGAGACAUAGAAGUGUACCACCACCACCAAUAACAAAAACAGAGAGAACCUCUAUAUGGUGACGAUAUUGAAACAGCAAAAUUAUAUACCUGCAUAUACUACUGCACACAUUAAGAAUGUAGGACAAAAGUCACAAAACAAGGAAGCAACAAAGGCAAAAUCAGGUUUACAUGCCUUACAAGACCCACAAGAAGACUUGCAAGAUAUUAGAUAAAUACAGUCAGAUAAAUUAUGAAACAUAAAUUUCUUCUGCUAUUCUUCUAUACUCCAAUUUACACACUCGCACACAGAGUCGCAGAUACAUACUUGUUCAUAGAAACCGUCCAUCUUUUGCUGAUGGUUGUUUUUCCUCUGUCAUCCAAUCAAGCAGUUUCUGAUUAACCUGCCAAAUAAAACAAAUUAGAAUGCAAGAAAACAAACUCCAGUACCAUUACUGAAGAGCCUAUGUACUAGAUUAUCCUGACCCUUCUUCAUAUUAAUAUCUUUGAUGAUUUAUAGGACUAUUCCUAUGAAUCUCUGAUACACGAUUUCAUCUUAAUUUGCAAAAUUUUAUUUGGAUAGAUUACAAACCACAUUUUAUAUGUAAUCCACAGUACAGAUAAUUAUACACAUUCAUUUAUUUCAGAAGAUAUGAGGAAAAGUUCACCAUAAGAAAUUGUGCUCUUUCAUGUCCAUCUUCUUGUUGAUUGCAAUGUUCAUGUGUAACAACCUUUUCUGGAGGGAUGGGAAAAACAUAUAAGAUGAAAGAAGCAUUAGCUCAGAUUUCUUCGUUUAAAUGAAUUCCAUCUUUCGUAAGCCUACAUAUAAAACUACAAGAAUAUUAUGUUUUACAAGCCAACAUUAGAAAUGAACAUUACCUUCUCUUUGGGCAAAUUGCUUUGCUGCACUCGGGCUCACAUUUUUCCAAUGACAUCCACCAACACCACAACCAUCACUGGCCUCUAAGCUUUGUGUCUGAAACUUUUCUUUAGCCCAAGCAAUGGCUUCAUUCAUAGCUACUGCAGAUUCGUCCUCCGUAUCUUUCUUUUUCUCACAACUGAUCUCAAUUACGUAAGAGCUCAUUAUUUCUUCUUCUUCAUCUUCUUCUUCUUCUUGCAAAGAUUUGUCCUGAAACCUGGAUUUAUUCUCUGGCUCUCGGUUAUAAAGUGACGAAACCACAGAUGAAGGUGAAUCCAUCUCUAUAUCAACAACAGAAGCUUUGAUGCUUUGGUAUGAUCUGGGUUCAAUACUAAUAGUCUCUGGAGAUGAGCCACUCUGCGAGAAUUUAUAUGGCGAGCUUUUAUAGUUCUUUGUUAAGUCAUUAUCCAAGGCAUGGGACUCUGUGAAGGUAGGUCGAAGCCACGGACAAAUGUCAGAAUUCCCCUGUAUGCUCUGCUUUUCUUUCGUAAGUGCUGCCGAAGAUGACUUCUUUUGCAUUUGGAUGUUAAUUGGCCUGAAGCAUAGGCAGAUAUUCAAUUAAACACAAGAAAAUUAUUGCGUUAAAUGAUGUGUUUGUGUCUCAGUAUUAUGCAAAAGACUGCAGAAAAAAACCAAGCUUACCGAUUCCAAGUAAACUUCAUAGUUCAUACUAACCCCUAGUUCAAACAUUUUAUCAAACAUUUGCUUAACCUUAACCCCAAUUUCAAAAUCCCCUUAACAUUUCUUUAACAAUAUGAAUAUUUAGAUGAAAAGGUAAAUGAGUCAACUCAAACAAAAGGAACAGAACUGAACUACUGAAGUAGUAGUGAAGUAUACCUGAGUUUUGAAGAGAAAGAAGAGAAGAAAACAUCCUCAGCAAUUGAAGGACGAACUGGACUUAAUUCUUCUGAACUCAAAACGGAAGAAGAAUUCGAUUUCGAUAUUGUAGAUUUCAACUUUGAUCUUCGAUCUUCAUCUGAUCCAAAUAUAUCAUCAUAAAAACCUUCAUUUCUAGUAUAAACAGCUUUUCUUCCUUUAUCCAUUGCCGGAAUACUAAAAACAGCUAAAUUCCGACCAGCUCUUUUAGUCGUCGGAAUAAUAUAUUCCGAUGAUGAUGAUGAUGACCGACAAACAUCUUGAUAAAAAUUUGUAGCAAAAUAAUUCAAAUCAGUUCUAGAUGCUUUUCUUGAAAGAACAGUUUUAGGUGGACCACCAAAGACAUCAUUGAAGUCUUCAGGUUCUAAUGUUUCUGAAUCAGAAGAAGAACAGUUAUUGUUACCGAAAUCAAAUAUACGAUGUAUUACCGGUUUUUCUUCUGUUGAUCUUCUUCUUGGUAGAUUUGUUGAUCCCAUUCUCAUUCUCCAUGAUUCAUCCAUUUUAGUUCUUUUUCUUCAAACAGAGUAGUAAUGUGGAAGUAGAACUGUAAAGAAAGCAAGCAAAGAAGAAAGAAAGAUAAAAGAUGUUAUUUAAUUGUUUUAGUAAAUUCUUUUUGCUUUAUUUUUAUUUAAUGGAAUUAGUAAUGAUUAGCCAUGAUGAUAGUGUGUUAUAUGUACGAAGAAGAGCUGCAUCGGUCUAAAUAAAUAGGAAUGUCAAGUGUGAAUGAGUAUCUGUUUACCGUGAUGGAGAUGACAUAAUAGUACAAAGUUGCAUACAUGCAACUGCUUAUAGCAUUGAAGCAGGUUCAGUAUGUUCAGCUUCAGUCUCAGUUCAAUAUUAAAAUGUCGGCAUUUGAAAUAAAUAACAUAUUUGGAUUUUAUUAUGCUGACAUUUGAAUAUUUGAAUAUAAUUUUAUCCAAUUUUUUGGAAAAUGGAUAAAUUCAUCUAUAUUCAUAAAUAUAGUCUCAGGUUCUCAGCUCAUAUUGUAAAUCAAGCGAUCGUGAAACAAACCCAAUCUCGAUUCUAGCUUGAGUAACUCAAAAUCUUAUUGUUUAAGCUUGGCUUGUUUAUUAUUUGAGGAUUUGAGGGUAUUGGUGGAAUGGUGGUUAUGCGAAACCCUCUACUUUUGUGUAAUCAUUUGCGCUUAUCAAUAAAAUUUGUUUCUCGUGUAAAAAAAAAAAAAAAGUUUGCCUUGUUUAGUUGACAAGUUUUAAAAUAUGUUCAAGCCUAGUGCUUGGGCUUGAAGAAGCCAGGAAUUAGCCAAGCCUAGUGCUUGGGCUCGAAUAACACAGCUCAUAUAUAGUAGCCCUACAUGAGUGUGGUGGUGCAGUUCAUUAGCUUUGGUUGAGAUAGAUUGGUGUGAUAUUUGCAAGUUGAUAUAGCUUGAAGGGGUGAGGCACUGAGGCCUACAGCUUGUGCUGUAUUUUUUGAUGCUGACCCAUAGAAUAUUGGAUGAUCCAAGACUUGAAUUGGACAUUUCAUAAGUGGAUACACAGUGUAUAUGUCCCUUUCUUUUGGCUUAAUCAUAUAUUUUACUUUAGUCAAGAAGGAAAAGGAUACCUCCCAUCUAUUUCUCUAGCUAAUAAUAAUACUGUACUACUUUGUUGUGAGAUGUGAAUGAUGUGAUUGUAUGAAAUCCACUUACCAAACUUGUUGUCCCACACAAAAAAACACAAGCAUGAGAGAAACCAAAAUCCCUCUAACCCUCUUCUUCAUAAUUCAACUCAUAUAAUUAAAUAGAUAAGUCAUAAGUCAUUGUAUAGUUCGGUAAGUCUAACCGUGUUUUUGCGAUACUGCUUAGGUAAUUAAGCACCUUUAUAUAGCUAACUAAUAAGCACAUCUGCUCGACUGCUGCCGUAGGCAGAGGCUUAGGGUUCAUGUUUUAUGUUUUGAGGCCUCAAUAAUAGUAAGUGGUUGGGUUGGAUGUAUUAUUAUGUCUUUAGCAUUUGAACAUUUAAUUUGCUUUUAUCUUGAGGGACUAUUUGGGUCAAGAUUUCCUUGUAAUCGACACAAUCUCUAACAAUAUAUUAUCAAAUUAUUGCGACUUUUCUAUAAAGUAUGAAGUUAUGAACAUCUUCGGCAUGCCAUAUGAUCUGUGAAACACUUGAUGGACUUAUGCCAAAGAACAAUAAUGUACUGUAUGUACUUAUUUAUCAUUAAGUGUUACAAGUAAGUAAAUAAUCCAUCAAGAAAAAGGUAAAUAUGAAAAGAUUCAUAACGAAUUAAAGAUGGAAAAUAAUGAUGAGUCGUGGCUGUCAAUGGACAGGAUUUGCACCCAGAAUCUAUUCCAAAGUCUCGUUUGGCUAUAUGCCAGCCCGGCCUAUAACCCCUUAAAAUGAAGAAUGUGUUAUAAAUGGGUAAACUGGCCUUGUGUGUGCAUGCACUUUGAGGCUUGAGCACUCACACAACAACAACAACCACUCUCGCACACAAAUGCACUUGAGCACUCAGAGUCGUCUCAGACCUCGCCUGAUGCCGAUGCCAACUUUGCCAGUGAUGGAGUGGAAUAGGUUGAAUAAUGGGUGCAGCAGUAAAAACCUUAGUAAUACCAAAUGUGUGAAAGCCUUGUAGACUGAUGCUCCAUGGGGUCUAGGAUUACCUCAGGAAGAGUCGCUGUGAUCCAAAAAUGUGGUUGUUUAGAUUUACAAGGCAUAAUUGUCACUGAGUGACACCAAAGAAGGCAUGCAAGAACCAUAAUUCUCGUUGUUUGACAAGCUUAUCCAAUAUUGGAGUCAAAUAGUCAAUUCAAUCAGUUUUCAAAAUUCAUCCAGUCCUCAAGUCGAACCUUGUCAGGAGAAGAGGGAAAGUAGUUAUGAAUUGCAUCAGUCACAGGGUUAUUGGUUCCAGCUUCAUUCCUAGACCUUACAGCCAACUCACAAAGCUCCCUCAACCCAGUUUUGAAGAUGUUAAACUCACCAAAAUGAUGGUCACACAGGGAAUUCUGGACGGCCAACCAGGUCUGAUCAUACACCAUUGCAACAACCAGAUUGUGUUCAUCAGAAGAACUAGAACCAUUGGAGGAAGAAGAAGAAGAAGCCAUUUUUGGUCCCUUUUUCGUUUCAAGCAGACUCUCAACUGUCUAUUGAAGAAGCAUUUGAUGCUGCCGUCUGCUUUUUGGCGCUUUAUUUUCCUAGGAGCUGACUUAUCUCUUGGUUUCAAUUUUUGGGCUCUUAGAUAUAUUAGCCUCAUGUUUGCCCUUUUUUCUUUUCUUUUUUUUUUGCUGCUGUGGCCUAUUUAUGGCCCAAGUUGUAACCUAUUCCUACUUGUAAGAAGGUAAGGUCUAGUCCCCCUUCAAAGCUAUAAUUUUUUCUACGUAAUGAACAGGUAGGGGGUCCAGCCAAACCCUACCCCAGUCUGGGGUUAUUAAAAAAAAAAAAAGUCAAUUGAAUCAGUUAACCAUGACUAUUAUUAUUGAUUCGUUUAUGAUCUGUGUUUAGCCUCGAGGCACUAGUAAUUUUCUAUUGGAGGGAGAAAGGAGCAUGCACACGCGCAUGGCACUAUAUACCUCCUUGUUACUAAAUUUGCUAUUGAUUGACAUUUAAUUUGCGAAUUCUUUGUAUUAUUGCAUUAGCGAACUAUACUUUUGAAUAAUUCAGUAUAAUUCGUGAAUUUUAAGUGUAAAACGUUGUAUACGAAUUACUGAAUUUUUGUAAAAAUCGCACUAUUCUUAACAAAAGACAAAAGAAAUUAAAUUAAAUCAUAAUUUAUUCUAAUUAUUAUCAAUAAGAUUGAUUUGGAUUGAUAAUAAUUAAAAGAAAAAACAACUUAACACUAAGAGAUUUGGAGAACUAAUUUUGUUCUAAAAACUUCAAAGACAAAUUACCUUAUCAAAACUUAUAACGGGGGAGAAUAAAUUCAUGAAAAUUCUUCAAAUAAUAUUGUAUACUGAAUUUUUGAAUUUUGAAAUUUUAGAGGAAAAUGUUUAAAACUCGUAUAACUCAUAAUGCCACGUUUAUCGUUUGCGAAUAUUUGACCACAUUUAUAAUCAAAUUUUUGUGUUUUAAAUCGAAUAUACUCAAAUAAUUCGUAAAUCGAAUUUUUUCCUAUAUCACGAAUUGCUAACAAGGCUAUACCUAAUGCAGGCCAGUCAGCGACAUUGGAGUUCCAACAAUAAACGGAAAGAUGAAAAGUAGUGUUGGCCUUGACUCUAAACUAAUACAACUAAGGGCUGUCAUUCCUGCACCAGAGGUUAUACUCCUAGUUAAGGACUGUUUUUCCUGCGCCAGAGGUUAUACUCACUUUCAAGCUUCAACUCCAUUGAUCGAUUGAUGGCCUUAUGCUGUGUACAUAUAUGCAAGCAGGCAAGCAGCGUUGAGUCGUUGAGUAUGUACAAGUGUGCAACUGCACGCAGGUUUUCAUUCUGCUGUGCGUACAUGAUUCUAUGACUCAGAUCUUUCUCUAUCUCUCAAGUCCCAACCUUCAAGUAGAAGACAUUGUACUUAGGUAGCCAAACCACGUAUUUAACCAAACCAUUUGCACUUAGGUAGCCAAACCACGUGUUUGGACAUUUGUAAUUCCUUGAGUUUAUCAAUAAAAUAGUUUUUCUCUAAUAAAUAUAUAAAAAGUUAUGUAACAUCAGAUUCAGGUAUUAUUGUUGGAGAUCCAUUAAAAUCUCACCAGUUGUGGAAAUCAAUUUAGUAUCAAGCAACACGUAGGUAAAACUUCUAGACAAAUACUCCAUUAAGAUAGGAAACAUGUAAAAAAGAGUAAUGAAGUCAUUGUUAUUCAAACAAAAUCUCUACGGAAAGACAAGUUCAACAGAGUUUCCACAGCUAGAUUAUUAGUGGGAUGAAAAUAUGGUUGUAAGAAUUUUUCUGGUCUUAAAAUAUUCAACAGGUUUCAUUUCACUUUUUGUGUUUUAAUACAAAAGAAGGUCAUCUUUGUUCUACAGCUUUUUAAACUCAUUGUCUUAACUCUCAGGCAGUUUCAAGGUUGAAACUAAAUUGAUAUGAGACUUAUAAAGGCAUAGUGGGUAGGUUUUUGUACAUUUUGCAGGUUUGAAUCAACGUCGUUGAAAUGGACAACUUUGAUCUUUAUAAUGUUAGUGGUAUGCGUCGGAGUGGUUCUUCCUUGUGGAAGGACAACACUCCUAGAGUUUUUUCAAAAACCAGCUUUUCUCAAGAUCAAGAGGAUGAAGAAGCUCUUAAAUGGGCUGCUCUUGAGAAGUUACCAACAUAUAGUCGUAUGAAAAAGGGUAUUUUGCCUGGAGAAAGAGGUGAAGCUCAAGAAGUUGAUGUUCAUAAUCUUGGAUCUCAAGAAAAGAAAAUACUGUUAGAUAGACUACUUAAAGUUGCAGAGGAAGAUAAUGAGAAGUUCUUGUUAAAGCUCAAGGACCGCAUUGAUAGGUAAAGAACAUGUCAUCUUUGUUAUAAUCUUUUUUCUACUUUUUUUUUGUCUUUGAAGGCGUUUACUAUUAGAUUUGAUCGGAUUAUUACUUAUUUUCUUUUCCAUUAUUCAAGUCAGUGUUGGAAUUGAUCUUCCAAAGAUCGAAGUUCGAUUUGAGCAUCUAAAAAUUGGUGCAGAAGCGUAUGUUGGAGGCAGAGCUCUACCUACAGUUUUUAAUUCUUUGAUUAACAUCGCAGAGGUAGUUUACCUUUAUAUAAAUUAUGGUUGGUUCAAUCAUCAUUAUUUUGUUAAUUACUGUUGCACAAUAUGACUCUAGGGGUUAUUGGGGCUCCUACACUUUCUUCCUGGUAGAAAGAGACCAUUUCCAGUCCUUCAAGAUGUUAGUGGUAUCAUCAAGCCAAGCAGGUACAGUAGGAUUGUUCCACUUUCGCACAUGAAUAUUGGUAGAUACUACUGAUUUAUCGCAUGACUCAUAUAUCUCUGGGACAUACAUUUGGUUCACCUCUCAACAAGCUCUGACUUGCAGAGAAAGUGGUCUUGGAUAUGGGAUCAAAGUAGUUUGUUUUCUUUUCUUGCAUAUUUAAGUGUGUGCCUGUGACUCUGGGAUCUCACUGGGGGAUUGUGGAGCAACAAACUUCAUUAUGCCUCGUUGAAUCACAAAUCUGUGUUUCGUAGUUAUAUUUUCUUAUAUUCAAAAUCAACAGAAUGGUACUGCUCUUAGGACCCCCAAGUUCUGGAAAGACUACACUGCUGUUGGCUAUGGCAGGGAAACUUGAUUCAGAAUUAAAGGUAGAGAAAUUUCGUGUCAUUCUAUUUAUACAAGAAGAGUUUCAAUCAUUAUCUAACCCUAGUUUUAUCUUGCUUAUAAUGAAACACUGACCAAGUUUUUGUGGAACAUCAGGUUUCAGGAAAAGUAAGUUACAAUGGUCAUGCAAUGAAUGAGUUCGUUCCACAAAGAACAUCUGCAUAUAUCAGCCAACAUGAUGUCCAUUUAGGAGAAAUGACUGUUAGAGAAACUUUGGAUUUCUCUGCAAGAUGUCAAGGGGUUGGAUCAGGAUAUGGUAUGUCCAAAUAUGUUCGUUAUCGACAUAAAGUACUACACAUAAAAAAGUUUAACAGUCUAUAUAAAUUGUUAUUGUGUGCAAUCUGCAGAGCUGUUUGCAGAACUGUUAAGAAGAGAGAAGGCAGCAAAUAUAAAACCAGAUCCAAAUGUCGAUGUCUACAUGAAGGUGAUAUAGUAGCUUUAAGCCUUUAAUCUACUCGAUAUUUAGUAGGUAAAACAGAGAUAUCUAUCAAGAAAAUAAAAUUGAAAUAUUUUGAUCUGCAAUGAUUUCGACAAUUCUGCAUUCAAUGUAUUUGCUAAAUUACUACCCCUGUGACAUCAGCUGAAUUAACUAUCUUAUCUAAUUAUGUAGGCAGUGGCAAACGAAGGUCAGAAAGCCAGUGUAAUUACAGAUUAUAUUUUAAAGGUAUAAAUUAACCAAAAACAUACAUUGAUUGGUUUGAUCAUAAUUAACCUAAUCAAAAUCUUAAUAUCUUUACUGUUAUGACUGAAAAUCUCAGAUUCUUGGAUUAGAUGUAUGUGCCGAUGCCCUGGUGGGAAAUGAAAUGUUAAGAGGUAUUUCUGGUGGACAGAGGAAGCGAGUCACGACAGGUUGAACAUUUUUUGAUAUGCGUAAUGUGUUACCUUUCUUGUAAUUUCUCUUUAGAUAUUUUGUGUUUUAAGCUUUUGUAUGCUAUAGCGGAAAUGCUGGUUGGACCUGCAAGGGCAUUGUUCAUGGAUGAAAUAUCCACCGGCUUAGAUAGUUCAACAACUUUCCAGAUAGUAAAUGCCCUCAGACAAUCCAUCCACAUUCUCCAUGGGACAGCCCUCAUCUCUCUCCUCCAGCCAGCUCCAGAGACUUAUGACCUCUUCGACGAUAUUAUUCUUCUCUCAGAUGGUCAGAUUGUUUACCAGGGUCCUUGCAAUCAUGUGCUUGAAUUCUUUGAAACCAUGGGCUUCAAAUGUCCUGAGAGAAAAGGAGUUGCCGACUUCUUGCAAGAAGUAAGCCAGGGCCUAAAAACUACUAUAUUGAUUUCAUCUUGCUUCUAUCCUCUGCUUGUCCUAUAUGAAUAGAAUUGACAUUUGUGUUUUUCAUUUGUCUGAAAGGUGACAUCAAGGAAAGACCAAAAACAGUACUGGGCACGUAAAGAUCUGCCCUACAACUUCAUCCCUACUGAGGAAUUUGUUAAGGCAUUCCAGUCAUUCCAUGUUGGCCGUGAACUAGCAAAUGAGCUUGCCACCCCAUUCGAUAAGACCAAGAGCCACCCAGCAGCUUUGACGACCAAUAAGUACGGUAUUAACAAGAAGGAACUCCUAAAAGCUUGCCUCUCUAGAGAACUCUUACUAAUGAAAAGGAACAAUUUUGUGUACAUCUUCAAAUUGACACAAGUAAAUAACCGGUUGCACUUCCCUAAACGUUUCUUUUGCAUUCCAUACCUGUUAUCAUACUGAAUUGUAUUUCUUGGUGCCAGCUUACAAUCAUGGCAUUCGUCACAAUGACAGUCUUCCUUCGAACUCAAAUGUCGCGUGAUGACGUAACCGAUGGUGGGAUUUAUAUUGGAGCUCUAUUUUUUGGUAUCACUGUGAUUUUGUUUAAUGGAUUCGCGGAGAUGAACAUGACUAUUGCAGCGUUACCUGUAUUUUACAAACAAAGGGACCUCCUAUUCUAUCCUGCUUGGGCUUUUUCGCUCCCUUCAUGGAUUCUUAAGAUUCCCAUUUCAUUAAUGGAAGUUGCUGUUUGGGUAUUCGUCACUUACUAUGUUAUUGGUUUUGAUCCAAAUGUCGAAAGGUCUAGUUCAAAUAGAAUAUGUUCUGAACUUAAUCGAUUACAGAUAUGUGUUUCACAUUUCUAACAUCUUGGAAAUGAACUUCUAUAACUGCAGGCUUUUCAGACAGUACCUUCUACUUGUAAUACUGAACCAGGUGGCUUCUGGGCUGUUUCGGUUUCUUGCAGCAGCAGGGAGAGACAUGAUUGUGACAAACACAUGUGGUUCAUUUGCAUUGCUUGUGCUUAUGGUUUUAGGUGGAUUUGUUUUGUCGCGAGGUAUAUAUAUGUAUUAAAUUCAAGUCAGGUUUAUAAUAUACCCUUUGGAUGCAUAAUUUUUAGUUCAUGUACGAACUCCUCUUUCUUUUACAGACAACAUAAAGAAAUGGUGGAUAUGGGGUUACUGGAUAUCGCCAUUGAUGUAUGGGCAGAAUGCACUCGCAGUAAACGAAUUUCUUGGGAAGAAAUGGAGACGUGUAAGUUAUGUAAUGACAUAAUUUCUAGAUCGGUCAACCUGAAUCAUAAUUAAUCAACCUGAAUCAUGAUUAAGAUGUUUUCAUUGCAAAAAAACUAAAAACUAAAAAUUAAAUAAAAAAUUAAAUUAAGAUGUUUGUAGGAACUUGUUAUACACUAAUUUUAAUCAUGUUUUCACGCCUCCUAGACUUGCACCAAACCCAUAAUUCAUCUCUAAGGUGAGCCUAGGUUAAUUAAGUCUAUGUAAUUGACAAGGCCAAGCAAACUUAAGCAUGAAACCGUACCUUUUUUUCACCAAGGGGGGAAUUCUUCCAGAUUAUUGCCUUCUUGUUGAAGUCUUUGGCUUCAUUUGGCAAUUGGCGUCACUUAAUAGAUAAGCUGUUUCUUCUUCAGAGACAAUCCACUAAACAAUCUCCAUCUGAUUAAUGAUAAAGUUGGCUUGUAAAUGCUUCUGCUCAUUGUUUUAAUUAUUAUAACUGCCAAAUUACACUUAUACAUGAAAUUGUAGUUUAUACUUUAUAGCAUAGAUCAGAAACUCUUUUCAAAAAGAAAAAAAAAACUUAAACAUUAAGCAAUGCCAACCCUUUUGUACCAUAAGCAAGACCAAUGAAUAACAAAUAUAUAAUUAAAAUAAGAAGAGAUGAAGAGUAUAGAUUUUUAAGUAGAUUCCAUUAGAAUCAUCCAUGAUUAAAAUUCACUUCUAUUCUUGCAGAUUCCUCCAAAUUCUACCGAACCUUUGGGAGUCCUGGUUUUAAAAUCGCGUGGAUUUUUCCCGCACGCAUAUUGGUAUUGGAUUGGAGUUGGGGCACUAUUUGGAUAUAUGUUCCUAUUCAAUGGCCUUUACACUCUUGCACUUGGUUUUCUUGAACGUAUGUAUCCUUCUGUCAUUUUCUGUCAUACUUUUGCAGCUGAAAUCUACUGUUAUAAUACCGAGUCAUCAAAUUACUGCAGCAUUGGGGAAGCCUAAGGCAGUUAUAUCAGAAGAAACCAUUAAUGAGAGCUCAAAUGAUAUCUCAUCAGUUGGAGCUGCGGAAUCAUCCACGAACUCUUCAUCUAUGAGGACAGAACCUAAUCAGAUAAAGAAGGAAGGGAUGAUUCUUCCAUUCCAACCUCUUUCUAUCACCUUUGACGACAUCACCUAUUCAGUUGACAUGCCACAGGUUGUGGGACAUUUGCUUGAACGCCAGAGGUUUUCUCCCUUUUGAGUUUAAUUGCAGAAAUGCCAGAAAAUUCAUGCUUUUUCCUAUAUUCAAUUUGUAGGAAAUGAGAACUCAAGGUGUUACAGAAAAUCGUUUGGAGUUGCUGAAGCAUGUGAGCGGAGCAUUUCGUCCAGGUGUCCUUACAGCUCUAAUGGGUGUCAGUGGUGCUGGUAAGACCACUCUGAUGGAUGUACUGGCUGGAAGGAAAACUGGAGGUUAUAUAGAUGGAAGAAUCACCAUAUCUGGCUACCCCAAGAAGCAGGAAACAUUUGCUCGCAUAUCAGGAUACUGUGAGCAGAAUGACAUCCAUUCUCCUCAAGUUACUGUCUACGAGUCCUUAGUAUUCUCUUCAUGGCUUCGGUUAUCUCCUGAAGUUGAUUCAGAAGCAAGAAAGGUUAGUUAGCUUCCGGGUUUAAUCUGUUUAUUGUGCUUGUCACUGGGUCCGUUAAGGAAUCCAUUGAUUUGGGAAAGUGAUUGAUGAGUGCAGAAGUUUGUUGAGGAGGUCAUGGAACUUGUAGAGCUAUCUCCAUUGAGGGGAGCAAUCGUCGGGUUGCCUGGUAGAAGUGGUCUGUCAACUGAGCAACGCAAGAGAUUGACUAUUGCAGUCGAGCUUGUUGCGAACCCAUCUAUUAUUUUCAUGGAUGAACCGACAUCUGGCCUUGAUGCAAGGGCAGCAGCAAUUGUGAUGAGAACAGUGAGGAACACUGUGAACACAGGGAGAACUGUGGUGUGCACCAUUCACCAGCCAAGUAUUGACAUAUUUGAAGCCUUCGACGAGGUUAGAUAUUUUGAAAUAAGCAAGUAGGCCUUCAUCUCAAUAGACCUCUAUUACGUAUAUGAACCUUCACUUCUCAAUUUGGAUAUACAGUUAUUCUUAAUGAAGCGAGGAGGACGGGAGAUCUAUGUAGGCGCAUUGGGUAGUCACUCGUGUGAUCUCAUUAGCUACUUUGAGGUGAGUCAUGGUAAUUUGUCAGGAUCAAACUUGUAGAUUUCUCUUUUUGAGUCUUUUAGCAUCCGUUAAAUACGCAUGAUAAUAAUGAUGCAAUUACUUGUGCAUCAUCAAGGGAGUGGAAGGAGUUGAUAAAAUCAAAGAUGGCUAUAAUCCAGCAACAUGGAUGCUGGAGAUGACUAGUCGAGCACGAGAAGAAACCCUGAACGUCGAUUUUGCUGAACUAUAUAAGAAAUCUGAAUUAUACAGGUAAGGUUACUCAAGUCGUCAAGUAGGCAGAGACGGAACUUAAUUUUCUUUAUCUUAUUACUCGGUCACAUUUCAGGCGAAACAAAGCACUAAUCAAGGAAUUGGGUACUCCUCCACCUGGUUCAUCAGAUCUUCAUUUCUCCAGACAGUACUCACAGUCUUUUUUCACUCAAUUCAGAGCUUGCCUAUGGAAACAGUAUUGGUCAUACUGGCGCAACCCACCAUAUAAUGCAGUGAGGUAUCUAUUCACAACUGUGGUGGCAUUGCUGUUUGGUACAAUAUUUUGGGAUCUUGGCAACAAAAGGUAACUAAUAUUUAAGAAAUCCCCGAGGCACUUUGUUCAUCUUCUUCCUAGACUCUUCUGAUUCUGAGAUUUGACUUUAUUGGUUGAAAUUGCAGAAGCAGGCAACAGGAUUUGUUCAAUUCAAUGGGUUCCAUGUAUGUCGCAGUUCUAUUCCUUGGUGUAAAUAACGCUUCAUCUGUCCAGCCAGUUGUUGCUAUUGAAAGAACAGUUUUUUACAGAGAGAGGGCUGCUGGAAUGUAUUCAGCCUUGCCCUAUGCCUUUGGACAGGUACAUCUUUUUCCAUCAACCUUUUAAAAGUAGUUUUAGUUACAUAAGUUAGCUGUUUCUCAACAAGUCUCCUUAUCGUUGCAGGUUAUGAUUGAGAUUCCAUAUGUGCUUGUUCAGGCUAUACUAUAUGGGGUUAUAGUGUAUUCUAUGAUUGGAUUUGAAUGGACAGUUGCCAAAUUUUUUUGGUAUCUUUUUUUGAUGUACUUCACUUUAUUAUAUUUUACAUUCUAUGGGAUGAUGGCUGUGGGUGUGACCCCAAACCAACAGAUUGCUGCCAUUGUUUCUUCUGCAUUCUAUGGCUUAUGGAAUCUCUUUUCCGGUUUCAUGAUCCCCCAAACGGUAAAUUUCCUAUCUUUUAGUUACAUGGACAUAUUAUAAUUUUUUUAAGGAUGUUGAUUAUAUAUAUAUAUAUAGGUAUAUAUUGAGUUUUCUAUAUUAAUACAGAGGAUACCAAUAUGGUGGAGAUGGUACUACUGGUGUUCACCUGUCGCUUGGACCUUGUAUGGUUUGGUUGCUUCACAGUACGCAGAUGUAACUGAAAGGUUUGACACGGGUGAGCAAGUGAAAGAUUUUGUAAGGAGUUAUUUUGGCUUCAAGCAUGAUUUUCUACCCGUAGUUGCAGUGGUAAUCGUUGCCUUCGCUGUGGUCUUUGGUUUACUCUUUGCAUUGGCAAUACGGCAAUUUAAUUUCCAAAGAAGAUGAGAACAUCGUACGGUAGAUUAGUUUGCAAGAAACUUCUGUGGUACUCAACUUGUUGUACAUACAUUUUUCAUAUGUAAUGUAUAUGCCUUACAUUAUUCAUUUCAAACGCAAAUUCGAUAUAUCUAGAAGUAUUUUCACAUGUUCUUUGAUAUUUCUAAAUUUUGAAAACUACCUAAACGAAAGCGCGCUAAUGUUGUCAUUUAUAUCAAUUCACUCCAUUACAACAAUCAAAAAAAUGUUUUCUCAUAAACCAAAAAAAAAUUCAAGAACUCUACAAACUAGGCAAAUAAUAAUAAUCAAACCGCUUAAAUAUCAUAUACUCAAAAAAAAUUUAACAAAUCACACAACAAGCUCAUUAUAAAAUUUUGAUGCAAACCUCUUUCAGAAUAAGAUUGCUUGAUUCAAACAAACAAGCAAACCAGUGAUUCCUCUUUCUUCGCCCCUCUCUGCAAUUUCUCAAGUGCUGCACAGAGAGAAUAAAAUGAGGUUGCAAAUAGCAAACACAAAUAUGGAUCUGUUCUCUCCAAAGCGGGUCAGACCCGACCUAUACUUACUACCUACCGACCAGACGACAAGCAUACCAACAAACUAGCAAAACCGUUGUUGCUUUUUCUUCUCUCACGUUCUUUUAACGCAAUCGUUCGAAAAACGCUGAAGAAGAAGAAGAAGAAAAGAAAAUCGUUUUUCUUCUCUUCUCUGCUCUUCUGCAACAAAUGGAGAAUGGAAACUGUUUUGAAUCGGAAUCGAAAGAGAAGAAAGAUUCAUCUUCUUCUUUGUUGUUUUUAGGAACUGGUUGUUCAAGUGCAGUUCCGAAUGUUUUGUGUUUAAUUCAACCUUCGAAUCCACCUUGUGAAGUUUGCACUCAAUCUCUUUCCAUUCCUCCUGAGAAGAAUCCGAAUUACAGGUUUUUCUAUAUAUUCUUAUUGGAAUUUCAAUUGAAUCGCUUUUGUUUUUUUUUUUUUAUUAUUUACUUUGAUUUUUGCUGAUUUAUGUUAUUAUUAGUUCAGAAUUAGAUCUAGAUCUUGAAAUGUAGGUUUGUUUGAGUAAUUGUAGCUACUUUGUUUGAUCUGUAUGUGUGGAAUUGUAUUAUAUUGGAUAUUUUACUUCAUUUUCUGCUUGAAUGAUGAGAUUUGGAUCUCAGAAUGUGGUAAGAAUGUGAUUGAGUUUUGGUGAUUUGCUUUCUUUGAUUAUAUGAUUCUAGGUCAUUGUUAGAAAAUUGAACGUUUUGAGUGUUGAAUGCAUGAAAAUCUUUAAGAAGUG
RNAcentral lists this long non-coding RNA (81219 nucleotides) under Aquilegia coerulea. RNAcentral describes it as "long non-coding RNA (ACOE_LNC001390)". The stretch from base 42662 to 42733 matches the Rfam family "tRNA". The record is from RNAcentral. Lineage: Eukaryota; Viridiplantae; Streptophyta; Magnoliopsida; Ranunculales; Ranunculaceae.